Molecule: long non-coding RNA, 71358 nt
Filed under: Prunus persica (peach)
Lineage: Eukaryota; Viridiplantae; Streptophyta; Magnoliopsida; Rosales; Rosaceae
Description: long non-coding RNA (PPER_LNC005454)
Rfam family: MIR473 microRNA precursor family (bases 59585-59662)
Source: RNAcentral
ACCUUCUACUCCUACUACCUCAUGUCCAAGGUGCUCGACCACUGCGAGAAGGCUGGCCGCCGCCACAUCCGAUUCCGUGAACUCGCCGCCGAUGUCUUAGGUAACUCUGAGCAAAAACUCUAACACGACGUCGUUUGGUAAAAUGGUUGGUAAUUCGGUAAAUGUUGGUUGCCCAAAAAAAAACUAAUCAACUAACCACCACAUGUUUUUGCUUUCCUCUUACUUCUUGAAUUUUUUGAAUUUCUUUUGAAUUUUGCAUGUUUUUGUUUUAUUUUUCUUUUGUUGCGCGAAUUUUUUUUAAAUGAAAUCGAAACGGUCGUGUUUGCGUCCUUUUGGGGCGGCGGCAGACUCGUUUACACGUUUUGCUCCGGUUGUUUCUCUGGUGCUCUUCUCUUUGAGCUUUGACUUCUCCAUCCGACGACGUUGAAGUACACGUGGCUCUUGCCCACAAAACGUGUGGGGUGUGUGAAUGUAGUGGGAUUGUGACACGUGUAUUCAAUUGCAAAUUGAGUCAAUUCGGGUCGGGUCGGGUUUGACCUGGUCGUCCAGAACCCGGCCUAGGCUCUUACGCCGGUAGGGAAGUUUGAAAACUUGAAACCACUACCAAUCUUUGAUCUUUUAUUUUUUUGUUGCAGCUGGGAAUUUAUUCUGUUUGUUAAACGUUAGUCUGAAAUUGGUGCAGAAAUUGGAUUUGAUUAAUACAAAAAAGGCUACAUUGUUUAUUAGUGGUGCUCUGUGUCUGUCCUGCUUGAAUUAGAAAUGUGGAAUCUUUAAUUGUAUUAACUGCAAGUGUGUGGGGCGUUUUGGUUUUGUUUACAGGGUCAGGAUGGAUGUUUUAUUUUGUGAUAUUCAUUCAAACGGCCAUAAACACUGGGGUUGGAAUUGGAGCAAUUUUGCUGGCUGGAGAAUGCCUUAAGGUAUGGUAUCAUUAUUAUCUCAUCAGCACAUGAGCUUCCAAAAGUAUCAAUAGGAAAUUGGUUUAUUGUGAACUGAUUCCUAUUUUAGUAACCUUGCAUUAUCUUGAUUGUCUUUUUUUUUUUUUUUGGCAAGAUUAUGUAUUCAGAACUUUCUCCCAAUGGAUCUCUGAAAUUGUACCACUUCAUAGCCAUGGUUACAGUGGUAAUGAUAGUCAUCUCUCAGCUUCCAACUUUCCACUCCCUCAGGCACAUCAACUUUGGUUCGCUGCUUCUCAGCUUGGGCUACUCAUUCCUGGUUGUUGGUGCUUGUAUUUAUGCAGGUACUGAAUCCUUCAACAUCCCUUCAGCAUCAUCAUUUAUAUAUAUGCCACUCGUGCAUAGAAUUGCAUGUAUAUCUUGCUUGCAACUUUCCGCUCUUGUAUCUUACUCUUGUAUCGUACUCAUGCAUCAUCAAAACAGAAAGAAAAUAACUUGAUUCUUCUGGACGAGUUAGAGCAACAAAUUGUUCCCUGGUGCCAAAACUAGCAUUGUGUCAUUGACAACUCUUACCCCUCCGAAUUAGGAAUCGGAAUUGAAUUUGUAUGACAUGCAUCAUGCAUGUUAGCGUGGGCUUCUAUUGUUAAUAAAUACUCAAGGGAAUGCCCUUUGUAAUCCUCGAGAAGGGGUUCGACGAUUAUCAAGUUUCUAAGUAAAGCAGUUAGACUUGGAGCUUUCAAUUGUCAACAGUAAUGACAGUAUAUUUUUCACUAAAGGGACCAGAUAACCAGUUGAGUUAUUGGAUCAUGAAAUUUAUUUAUCUAUUUUAAGAAAGCAAGUCCUAAUCCUGUGGUAAACAUUUCUUUUUUUCCUAUAGGUACGUCUAAGAAUGCCCCUGCGAGGGACUAUUCCUUAGAAUCUUCGAAUUCAGCAAAGCUGUUUAAUGCCUUCACUUCCAUCUCCAUAAUUGCUGCUAUCUUCGGGAACGGAAUUCUUCCUGAAAUACAAGUAACUACAGCCUCUUUGGAACUUUCUAUUAGUUGCAAAAUUCCAAGCUUUCCCAUGCUAGUUGGCACAUCCAUUACAUGAUCUGGUUGAUUUAACUAGAAUGCUUGGGAACAUGUGUCUUAGUGUGAAAAUCAUAAACAUCUAAAAAUUAGGUCAAGCAAUCACUUGUUUGACAUAUUCUUUUUUAUUUAAUUCUAUCAUGUGCCCAUGGAUCAAUGCAGGCAACUUUGGCGCCACCAGCUACUGGAAAGAUGGUAAAAGGUCUUGUCAUGUGUUACACAGUAAUUUUCAUUACUUUCUACUCAACUGCAGUGUCCGGGUACUGGGUGUUUGGGAACAAAGCUAGUUCAAACAUUAUACAGAGCCUAAUGCCAGAUGAGGGACCUUCUCUGGCUCCAACUUGGGUUCUUGCAGUUACUGUGAUCUUCGUACUCCUUCAGCUUUUAGCCAUUGGCCUGGUAAGCUUACUCAUGCACUUUUCAUACCAAGUUGAAAAUUACAGUCUAUAACAGGAGGGGAAAAUUACUACAAUGGUGGAGGGAAAACAUUUCUGUACAGUUGUCUGAUUUUUCAAGCCUAUUUAAAAUUGCAUUUGAGGUGAUCUUUCUCCAAUAUGACGCAGGUUUAUUCUCAAGUUGCUUAUGAGAUCAUGGAAAAGAAAUCAGCUGAUGUCAAUCAAGGAAUGUUUUCAAAAAGGAAUCUCAUUCCUCGAAUAAUUCUCCGUUCCCUGUACAUGAUGCUCUGCGGUUUUUUUGCAGCAAUGCUUCCAUUUUUCGGAGACAUAAGCGGUGUGGUUGGAGCUGUCGGCUUCAUCCCUUUAGAUUUCAUCCUGCCAAUGCUUCUCUACAACAAGACCUAUAAGCCUCCAAAAUCAACCUUCAUUUAUUGGAUCAACAUAUCUAUAAUGAUCGUGUUCACAGGCGCCGGACUUUUGGGCACAUUUUCGUCUGUAAGGAAACUGGUUCUUGAUGCCAGCAAAUUUAAGCUUUUUAGUGAUGAUGUGGUUGAUUAAAAGCUUGUACAUAAAACCACACAGCAGCCUUUGCUUGUGAAAUGUACAAUCUAAUUAACCCCCUUUGCCAGGGAGAAACUGUACCGUUUAGUGCCCUUGUAAUUUCCUAAUUAAGCUGAUUUGCAAUUUUCUCAAAUAUAAGCUUAAACUAAACAAAUUAUGAGUAUAUAUUCAAAUCUGAGAGAUUAUGUUUGAUCAAAUAGUAGUUGCUGACAAAUCUCAGUUUGGUGUGAUGUAUUGUGCAAGCAAACCUGUCUAGUUUCUAGAACUUGGACCAAGUUUUAUUUUAUUUAUUUUAAUCAUGUAGGAUAUGAAUAUCUCAAUUUAAUAUUAAUUAAAAGCGUGGUUUUUCAUAAUUGAUCCUUUCACAUUGAGUCAUUGACGUGAGAUUUUUGGAAGAGGGUUUAAUUAUGUGACUUUGUGCCUUGCUGUACUAAUGUGUCCCUUAAUUUAGGUGGACUCUCAAAGGCACAUUCCCAUUGAUUAAUUUAAGCCUUAUUGACCCAACUACAUAGAAAAUAUUUAUACCAAAAUGAAAAUUGGGAUACAAUUGCACGCCGUAGUCACGUGAUCUGUACAUUUCCUUUAUAUUAGAGGAAAUCAAACCCUAUACCUAAACAAUUUUGAUAAAUAAGCACUUGAAGGAUAUGAUGACACCCUUUCAUGUUAUGUACCAUAUUAAAUAAUUGAACAAAUUCGAUCUGAAAUCUUAGACAAAAAGUCUAAGCAACAUGCCCAUCAACAAUUAAUAUAAAACAAAGACGCAUAGAAAGGGAAUAAAUAUAUAUAUUUACAAUAACAUAUUAUUAUACCUGCUUCUGCUGAUUUGUAUGAAACCAAAAUAAUGGAAAAGUAGUCACUCGCUUCCAUUACCUGCAAUUCCUAAUAAUUAUUUUAAAACUAAAAAUUAUUUUUAUCCGGAUUCGUCGAACUUAAUAUUCAAAGAGUAAAACUAUGGGAUCAAUGGUUUUUUUUUUUUUUUCCGUCACAACUAGAUGUUUAAACGAUUUUUAAUUUAUUUAUAUUUUAAAAUUUUGAGAUCGAGAAAACUGGAUUAUGACCAUAUAUCUCCUGAAAAGAGAAAGACUGGUCGUUGUUUAGUUAUCUCUCCUUUUUGUUUUGUAUUGUUUUCUGUUUCUUGUUUGGUGAUAAUAAGAUAAGACAGGAAAAGUCAAAGGUUACUCUGUCUCUCUCUCUCUCUCUCUCUCUCUUUUUCAACGAGCCGAGGGCUUAAUAAAUGGAAAGCUUUGGAAAGCUUGGACACGGCAAAGGCCUGAAAGUAAAGUUAUGGUCCAAAUAUGUAGGCCGUGAACACUCUGCAAUUUGCAAAGCAGGGUAGCUGCCACCUCCACCUCCACCUCCCUCUUUUUAGUUUUAUGUCAUCAUAACUCAUAACUAACGCGUUUCAAUAUUCACCAACCAUUUUUCAAACCCAAACUUCUACAUAUACACAUCUACAAAACUUCUCGAGCUUCCAAGCAACACCACCUCUCUCUCUCUCUCUCUCUCUCUCUCUCUCUCUCUCUCAUAUUAAGAAAGUAAUGGAGGUCGGUGCUUAUACCUCAAGCGGCAAAGAGCACUUAUCCUCAAAUCCGCGCAGACGCUCACAGCAAGAGUUCGACUCUCAUCCUGCCAUUCCAAUGAACCAAAAGAAAUCACAAGAACACAAGGCACAUCAAUAUAAAGUGAUGAAAGUCGGAGAAGCUUAUAACGCAAGUGGCAAAUAUCACCUGUUACCCUCAAACCCUCGUCGUCGUUCACUGCAAGAGUUCGACUCCCGUCCAACCCCGAAUCAAAAGAAAGAUCAACAACACGAUGAAAAUCAAUCUAAAGCCUUGGUUCUCAACAAGUCCAGGCCGGUGUGGGAUUGUGGCAGCUCACUCUACGACUCGGUAGAGCUCGACUCGUUCAAGCGCCAAAUCGACUCGGCCAUAUCAUGCAGAACCAUGUCAAUGCCUCAUCUGUCUGAUCGCCGAGUUCUUCCCCCUGCUCCUCCUCCUUCACGGCCAGCCAUAACAGCCUCCAACAAAAAACCCUCGUCAAACAAGCUCUCUCGCUCGAUUCAGAAGCUUCUGAGGUCCGUGUUCAAGCCAAAUAAAUCAAGCAACAGCAACAACAAGAACAACAAUUCUGGUGUCGUUUUUAGAGUACCAGAUCAUCCGCAGGCCAACAUCAAGGACGGGUUUUUUGUUGUGUACGACAAGACAGGUGCACUUACGACAAUUCCUGAGGUGGCUCCUCAUGAGUUUAAUUUCGGUGGUCUCUCCCCGGAGAUUGGGGCGUUGGUCGGGAAGACAACCUCGGAGCGAUUUACAGCUACUAGUACUUCUAAUAUUGGUAUUUCAUGUGCUUAAUUAAUGAAUAUAUAGUUUAAUUAUUAUAUAAUUAGCUAUAAAAUAAUACUAAUUUUUGCAUAUAUAUUAUAAAUAUUUAAUAUGGCCUUUACAAUUAAUGUGUUAUGAUCGAUGCUAUUAAUUAAUUAUUUAUAUUAUCAUGUUUCUUUGGGUUUAUAACUUUGACAAGUUCAUCCGUUUGUAUUAUUGACUGCUUUAUAUGGUCAAUGCGUAUAUGUGCCUUGGUCAAUUGCAUGGCUUCGAUCUAGGGUUAAAUAUAUUAUUUAACCCCCACAUUUUAGGCUGCUUGUUCUUUGUCCAAUACUCUUACGAUUGUCGCCUCAAAUCCAUCACACAAAUUUUCUUUCUGAUAGAUUUUUAUUUUUUUUGUGAGAAUUUUAUUUGUAUUGUUAUGGUUUGGUUUUUUUAAACUUUAUCUUUUUUUUGAUUAUUUUGAAUUUGUAAUUUUAGUUGAAAUGUUUAUGUCAAAGUUUUUUCGAUCUUGCGUGAUUGUUAAUAGAUGCGUAUCAGAUUGUCUUAAUUUUGAUGUUAAACCGCUCGGUUAUUGUAAUGGCCCUUUGUGGCUAAUUUGUAUUAGCUCUCUUUGGCUAUUGAUUUUUUAACUAAAUUAUUAAUGCAAUUUUAAAAUUUCUCAGGAAAAAAAAAACAAAAACAAAAGACAAUGUCUAGAUAUAGUUUAAUCAUCCGGUAAUUAAGCUACAAUAACAGUAGCUAGCAUCACUACCAUGACACAAGUACUAUGCAUGGGUUUAGUAGGGAAUAAAUAAAUAAAUAAAAUUGGCAAAUAAAAAUCAUAUAAUAUAUCCAUGAUAUUUUACAGAAUUGUACUUCAGUAAGAAAUAGUAACUAGACAAAACCUAUUUGCCAAAUAUCAUACUGGAAGAAAUUGACGAUAGAGAUGCAGUGGGUGAAAUGUAUCUAUCGAGUUUCGAGUGUAUCUUUAUCAUCAUUAGUGAUGAAAGCGGUUUGAAUACUUGUGCUUAUUCAAUUAAGGACCUAAUCAGAGGAUGAUGAUGGUAAUAAAAAUAUAAUAGUAACAAAUAUUAAUAAUUUAGUACUGGAAUUUAUUAUCGAGAAUGAAAUGGGGUAACAAUAGUGGGACAACGUGAUAUAACUCGUAUAAGCAAAUAUUUAUUAAUAUUGUACGCUUUUAAUCUUAACGCCAUAUCAUAAAAUCUUGUUCGAGUACCACACAAUAAUUUCUUAACACAUAUCAUAAAAUCUUGUUCGAGUACCACACAAUAAUUUCUUAACAGGUGAGUUUUAUAUGCCUUCAUGUGUCCAAAACCAGUUAUGCGUAUUGGUAAAAUGGCAGUUGGGACCAGGUUGUUUAUGUGGAAGGCCAUUCUUGACACAUCUUGGUCGGUAAGCCUCUUAAAUUUUAGACCAGUGAGCUGUCGGGAUCAGUGUCCUCCUCUUUAAAUACAUGACAAAGUGAGUAAAUGAGCAAUAAUUUGGGCCAAGUACAAUCUUCAAAAUUUCAAACCCAAACAAACAAAAAAUCAAUUAAUUCUCACUAUGAAGAAAAUCUUGUAUUUAAGAAGAAAUCAAUGAAGAAAAUCAUUUUAGUCCUUUCCCUUGGGAUCUAAUCUGGCCCAAAAUUGGUCGAUUUCUAGCAAGAUUGGGCUUUUCAUCAUGUCCAAAACUCGACCCAAAAAGAAAUAAACUGCUUUUGGAAGUUCUUUAUCUUUUGGUUCCUCCAACAUAACAUAACAGGCAGCAUUGGAGGAAAAGAACAGAGAAAAGCUUGUACGUCCUUUUGUAGGCUUUGGAGUCGUGUUCUUGAAAAGGACUUGAGGGUUAAUUUGUCAUAUCAAACUUGAUUGUAUUUGAAAUUAGAGAUGCAAAGUCGGCAGAUUAGGCCAUCCCCAAUAAUUGAGGCUCUAAAUAUGGUGGAUAGAGUCUCAUUUAACGCUCCGAUGGAAUAUUACAGGCUCUAAAUAUAUCUAUCUCACAAUGGGGGGCUCUAUAAGUAUUUUUUUUUAUGAUGUAAUUUAUUCUAUGCAUUAAUUUUUGUUGUUGUUAACUUAUUUUAUUUUAGUGUAUGUUUAUGUUAUAUUAGUUUUUUUUUACGAGCAUUUUUACUCAAAAAAAUCAAAAUUUGGAAAAGAUUAAAGAGACAAAAUUUGAAAGUAAACACAAUAAAAUGCUGAACAAUGAUACAGAUUUGCUUUUGGUUAAAGUUGAAGAUAUCAAAGCAAAAAGAGACACAAAAAGCCACGCAGUCUCUGUCAUUAGCCCAUGACCUUAUCAUCCCAUUCAAAGAUUCCAAACCCAUCAAAUAAUUCAACGACACAAACUCCUCCUUAUAAUGAUCUCCAUCUUUCUUCCAUAUUCGUUCAUUUCAACACCCAAAAACCCUAGAGUUUACUUACACUACAAUGGCUUUAGACACCCAUGGCCAGCAGCAGAAUCUGAUCAAGCCACCCCAUGUUGCCAUUGUCCCAACUCCAGGCAUAGGCCAUCUCACUCCCCUCGUUGAGCUAGCCAAAUUACUCCUCUUCCAUCAUAACUUCACCUUCACGUUCAUCAUCCCAAACGACGGGUUGCACUUGGCACCCCAAAAGAAACUCCUUGAAGCCCUCGACCCUCAGGCCAUAUCCUACAUCUUCCUCCCUCCUGUGAGCUUCGAUGACCUCCCUGACGACGUUAUGGUCGAAACAAAAAUCGCCCUCACCUUGACUCGGUCCCUCUCUGCUCUGCGCAUCUCACUUAUAGAACUAACCGAGUCAACUCGGCUGGUGGCACUUGUCGUUGAUCUUUUUGGUGCCGAUACCUUUGAUGUGGCCAAUGAACUCCACGUGCCCCCUUACAUAUUUUUCCCCUCUUCAGCUUUGGUUUUGUCGCUUGUACUUCAUUUCCCACACCUUCACGAGACCACUACUUGUGAGUAUAGGGACUUGCCUGAACCAAUCCAACUUCCGGGUUGUGUUCCCCUUCACGGUCGAGAUUUUAUGGACCCAGUUCAAGACCGGUCCAAUGAGGCCUAUAAAGUUAUGGUUCGGAUGUGCAAGAAGUAUAGGUCGGCUGCUGGGAUUAUGGUCAAUAGCUUUGUAGACUUGGAACCGGGUGCUUUCAAGGCUUUCAAGGAACAAGGACAAGGUCUUCCACCGGUUUAUCCGGUUGGACCAGUAAUAAAGAUCAGUUCAGCAGAUGGGUUUGAAGGGAAUGAGUGUUUGAGGUGGCUUGAUAAGCAACCCAAUGAGUCAGUGUUGUUUGUUUCAUUUGGGAGUGGGGGGACUUUCUCACAAGAGCAAAUGACUGAAUUAGCCUUGGGACUUGAAUUGAGUGGGCAGAGGUUUAUCUGGGUUGUUAAGAGCCCAAAUGAGACAGCUAAAAAUGCAAAUUAUUUUAAUGUCCAAGGCAGUGAGGACCCUUCUGGUUUUUUACCACAUGGGUUUUUGGAGAGGACGAAAGAGGUAGGCCUAGUGGUCCCAUCUUGGGCCCCACAAGUCCAAGUGCUGAGUCACCAAUCAACGGGUGGGUUUUUGACUCAUUGUGGAUGGAACUCAACAUUGGAGAGCAUUGUGCAUGGUGUGCCUUUGAUUGCUUGGCCACUCUAUGCAGAGCAAAGGAUGAAUAGGGCGCUCCUUGUUGAUGGUUUGAAGGUUGCUUUGGGUGUUAAAUUGAAUGAUAAGGGGAUAGUGGAGAGCCAAGAUAUUGCUAAGUAUGUUAGGGGCCUAAUUGAAGGUGAUGAAGGGAAAUUGCUAAGGAACAAGAUGAAAGGGUGUAAAGAGGCAGCCAAAUUGGCUUUAAGUCAAGAAGGGUCUUCUACCAAGUCACUUGCUGAGGUGGCUCAGAUAUGGAAGGGCCUCAAGAUCUAAUCUAACCUAAUGUGUCAAUUAAUAAUGGUUUCAUUACAGAUUGAAUGAACAUAUGUGGUUUCCUUGGCCUUUAUCUGAAUUGAAAAUAAUUUGUUAUCUUUUCCCACUUCAUUCUGUCAUCAAAACAUCACUUUCCAUUACAUGCAUCGCUUUUAGAUAUGUACGUUUGAUAUGUAAUUAACAAAUAACUUGUAGCUCAUCAUGGUAUUUAUAUUUGAGUUCUGACAUAACAUUCCAGGCAAAAGGCCCUAUAGGCUUUAAAAUUCAUUUCCAGUGUCCAAUUAUUUCACUCCAGGUUGAACUCAUCUCUUCCCAAGACAAAAUGAACUUGAACUCCUGUCGACGGGCUGUGACGUUAACUUCAGAGAUGGAAUAUGUGACUUAGAUUAGGAUAUCUAUUUUAAUACGUGGCUUAGAUUAGGAUUAUCUAUUUUAAUGUACGACUUUGACAUGAAGAGAUAGGCAAGCUACCGAACAAAACCACUUACGUUAACUUCAUUCGUAGACUCAUCUCUUGAAAAAAGUAGAUGAUCAAUUAGUAGAGUAAUUUUUGUCUGUUCAUAUAUUCAUUCCUCGACUCACCACGUGGUUUAGUUGUUUAUGUUUUUUUCUUAUAUUCUUUUGUUUUAUAUAAAUCUUUAUUGUUAUCUUCGGAGGUGCAGUUGGUCAAACAUAAUUUUCAAAAGCGAAACUUAAAAGACAAAAAAGAAAAAAAGAAAAAAAGGGGAAGAAGACAGUUUUGUCAAUCGUAGGGAAUUUGUACUUCCUAGCUAUAAUAAUCCGAUACAUUUAACUUAGUUGAUUUUGGUCUUUCGGAGGAAAUACUAUAAUGAGCUUGGUGUGAAGCUUGGUUACUCUUCUAAGAAUUUAAAAUGAUAAAAAUAUUGGUUGAAAAUGUAGGGUAUAUUGGAUUCGCUUUCUAGAGUGUUAAAAAGAUUAUUGUAUAAUACAAACACGAGUUAGGUCAGUUGGCAGCUCGACCCAUUGCACCAAAGUGCAAGUACUCAAUAGCGAUCCUACAUCAAGGGUAGGGUAGGCAGCUGCCUACCCCAAAUUUUUUCACAAAAAACACACCUGCCUACCCCAAAUUUUUUCACAAAAAAAAACCUAUAACAAAAAACACACCCACUUUCUCCUUUUUUUUGUUUGGUACGAAAAUUGCUUUCUUUAUAUUGGGAUAUUUCUCCCUCAAAUGAAGCAGCCAUUGCCAUGUUGGUUUCUUUCUUCUUCAAAAUUUUUUUUUCCUGGUUUUAAAGUUGUGUAUAAACUCAACUAAUUUCUCCCACCAAAACUUGUGAAUAAACUCACCUAAUUAUUUGUACCAAAUUGUCACAUGAUAUUCCCACGAAUCUAUCAACAAUUGCCACGAAUCUUAUCACAUCAUCGAUGAGAUAGUAAUUUUUGUACGUUGAUAUGUUCAUCAUGUGCAUUAACUAUUCAUUCGUAGACUUACCACGCGGUUUAGUUGUUCAUGUUUUUUUCUUAUAUUUUUUGUUUUAUAUAUGUUAUCUUGGGAUGGGAUGGGAGGUACACUUGGCAGAGGAUGUGGGGGGACUUUCUCACAAGAGCAAAUGACUAAAUUAGCCUUGGGACUAUCAAAUCAAACAAUUGUCUUGGUCUCUGUCAUGAAAAUACCUUUAACACCCCUAUCCGACGGUCUCCAAAAUCCUCACUCCUGAUCAACACCCCCAUCCGACGGUCAACAAAAAUCUUCCUUAAAUACUUCGGCAACCCCACAAACCCCACACAAAUUAAACCAACCAUGGAAUUAGACACCCAGCAAAAACUCAACCCACCCCAUGUGGCCAUCGUCCCCACUCCAGGACUGGGCCAUCUCAUUCCCCUCGUCGAGCUGGCCAAACGAUUCGUCGUCCAACACAACUUCACUGUCACCUUCAUCAUUCCGAACGACGGGUCGUCCAUGACCCCGCAAAAGCAAGUCCUCAAAGCCCUUAACCCUCAGUCCAUAUCCUCCACCUUUCUCCCUCCCGUAAACUUCGAUGACCUCCCGGAGGACGCUCAGAUUGAAGCACGAAUCGUCCUCACCAUGACUCGGUCCCUCUCCGCUCUACGCGACUCUGUCAAGGUCCUAGCUGAGUCAACUCGCCUAGUGGCACUUGUAGUCGACGUUUUUGGAGCGGACGCAUUUGAUGUGGCUAAUGAAUGCCAUGUGGCGCCCUACAUGUUUUGGUCAACGAACGCUAUGGCUUUGUCUUUUGGCUUUUAUUUGCCGUGGCUUGAUGAGACCACUUCUUGUGCGUAUAGGGACAUGCCUAAACCGGUUCGUUUUCCAGGUUGCGUACCACUCCACGGUAGGGAUUUUUUGGACCCGGUUCAUGAUAGGAGCAAUCAAGGCUACAAAUCCACACUUCAGAUAUGCAAGAAGUUCAAGUUGGCCUCAGGGAUUAUGGUAAACAGCUUUACAGAUUUGGAACCUGAAAUUUUUAAGGCUUUGAAGGAAGCCCGAACAUCACAAGGGUUUCCACCGGUUUUCCCCAUUGGACCGGUAAUUAAACUCGAUUCAGCCGGUGUAUCAGAUGGGGAUCACAAGUGUUUGGGAUGGCUAGACAGGCAGCCACGUGGGUCAGUGUUAUUUGUAGCAUUCGGGAGCGGUGGGACCCACUCACUUGAGCAGAUGAAGGAGCUGGCUCUAGGGCUUGAAAUGAGUGGGCAAAGGUUUCUUUGGGUUGUGAGGAGCCCAAAUGAGACAGCUAAAAAUGGUACUUAUUUUAGUUCUUCUUCCACUGCCCAACAGAAGGACCCAUUGGGUUUUUUGCCUGAUGGGUUUUUGGAGAGGACCAAAGAGGUGGGCCUAGUGGUCCCAUCUUGGGCCCCACAAGUCCAUGUGCUGAGUCACGAGUCAACGGGUGGGUUUUUGACCCAUUGUGGGUGGAACUCGACAUUGGAGAGCAUAGUGAACGGCGUGCCGAUGAUUGCUUGGCCGCUCUAUGCAGAGCAAUAUAUUAACGCAGUUUUGUUGGCUGAUGAUAUAAAGAUUGCAUGGAGGGUCGAGAUGAAUGACAAGGGCAUAGUGGAGGGCCAAGAUAUUGCCAGGUACGCAAGGGGAUUAAUUGAAGGGGAUGAAGGGAGAUUGCUGAGGAACAAGAUGAAAGAGCUGAAAGAGGCAGCCAAAGUGGCCUUGAGCCAAGGAGGGUCGUCCACAGAAUCACUGGCUGAGGUGGCUGAGAUAUGGAAGGGCCACAAUUGAGAUUGGGUUUUGGUUUCUUUCAAUUUUUCUCGUAUGUGUUCCAAUGGAGAUUGAUGGGGAAGUUGCUCCAAAACAAGAUGAAAGAGAUCGAAGUUAAAGAUGAAAUGGCUUUGAGUGAAGAAGGGUCCUCUGCUCUGCUACAUCACUUGUCCGUAUCACUCAAAUAUGGAAGAAUUAGAAACCUAAAGUGAUUGAUAUAAUGCGUCCAUGCUUCACUUUACAAAUUACAAAUUUAAUACACGACACUUGUGCGGUUUUCUUGCCUUUAGUAAUGUUUGUCUUGUUUAAUAAGGGUUAAUAGUAACAUGUUCAUGUGUCUUGUUUAAAAAAAAAAAAAUGAUUCAUCUAUUAGUAGUCUUAUAAAAUAUUUGAUAUCAUUGUUGUUUCAAAUAUUCAAAUACACGGGCCUUGUAAAAUUAUGUGAUCCAUCCAUUUGUAGUCCUAUAUGAUAUUUGAUGAUUGUUGUUUUAAUGAUUACUAUACGUUAAAGUCCGUUAUAUAAUUCAUUACUAGCACAUAAUACGAUAACACCUAACCUAAAUCCUAAAUCCACACUCUAAACCUCGUUACCAGGUCCUUUUUUUUUUUAAUUGAAAAAUUCUAUAAUUGCUUUCAUAAUUCAGCUAAAAAAGUCACUAGCCACAAAAGGUCAAUACAAACUAGACACAAAAAGGCCAUUACAAUAACGGAGCAGUCAAAUAUCAAAAUUAAGAAAAUUUGGUAUGUCUCCACUAACGAUAGGCAGGAUCGAAGAAACUCUGGUAUAGGCAUCCCAACUAAGAUUGCAAACUUAGAAUAAUAAAAAAGAAAUAAAGCUUGAAAAAAUCAAGCCAUAACUAUACAAAUAAAACUCUCACCAAGGAGAGAUGAAAAACUCUCACAAAAGGAGAGGUGAAAACUACACAGAGAACCCAAAGAGUCUCUGCAACUUAUUCCAAACAUAAAGACAUUGCAAAAAAGAUGGUGGUGGAGAUUCGACGCCGAAAUGCAGGUAAAGAUCUGACGCUGAGCCGCAGCCACAUGUAAUGGUUAUAUGAAAAUCAUAACAAAACUAAGACAAAUAGGGAAAACCCUUUGUCUCUGAAAAUAGGGGGAAGAGGUGAAGAGGAAGAGAGGAACAGAAGAGGGGUGAGGGGGGAAGAACAAUGGCUUACUCCCCCCUCAAAGUGGAAAUGGCUCUAAGAGUGUUUUUUGGGACAAAUGGGGCUAGGGUUUUAUCUAAUACCAACUUACAAAAGGUUAUAUGUGUAACAAGAAACCCACUCUUUCGUUACCAGGCCCUUAGUUUCAAGAAGAUAUUAUACUUAACAUGACUUGUUAAUUAAAUUCUAAGAAAACUCUUACAUGUAUGAGAUUUUCUCUUUAAACCCCGCAUUUCUCUUUGUUCACCCUAAUAUUUAAAUCAUUAAGCUAUAAGUUUUAUUAUUGUGUAAAAAGACAAAAAAGUUCAACCAACUUAAUACUUAACCCCAGUACAUCUAUACACACACGCCACCACUCUUCAUAUUAAGUUUUAGAAAAAUACGAACUCUUAUUGCCAAAUUACUCUUCUCUUUAAAGAUAUAAAACAUUGAGGAGCCUAUCUCUUUAAAAUAUGUGUGAAGCUUACGGAAAUGCUUGUUAAUUGCUUGGCUGCAAUGAUCUUAGUCUCUUCCCUUUGUUGAUUGCUUGGCUGUUGAUUGCUUAGUUGUUCUAAUUUUUUAUUUACUUGACAUAUUAUGUGCUCAAAAGUAAACAAUAAAUGAUUACUGUACCUUCGUGUAAGUGAAAUUUGUUCUUGCUGAGGUAAGUUGCACCUUCUUGUCUACAAUGCAACUAAAUAUCUCCUCAUUUAAUUUCUAAUUUAGAAAUCUUUAUUUGGUAUAGGAUCUCUUUCCAUUGACAGUAAACAAUAUAUUGUAAUAGUUAGCGAGUUUGUCUGUCUUGCAGCAAGCACAUGGACCUUCAUCUUCUUCUCAAAAAAUAGGGGUCUUCUUCAUCUUUUCCCCCACUAUUCAGUUUAGAUAUAUGUUUUUUCUAUAGUUUGUAGUAGAAAGAUAGUGAGGUGUAAAUAGAAAAACUCUUUUAUUUUAUUUUAUUUUUCCAAUUUGGGGGGUGUAUUUAAGGGUAGUUUGAAAAGAUAGUGGAGUUUUUUUAAAAAUUAUGAAAAUUUAAAUUAGAAAUUAGGGUGAACUCAGAAUAUGAAAUGAACAAAAAAAAAUAUGGAGUUUAAAUAGAAAAUCUUUACAUGUAUUAAGUUGUCAUGACAGUUUGGACCCCAAAAAAAAAAAAAGACAAAGGUUCGUCAUAUAGAAAUGGUGCCAUUUCAUCUAGAAUUUUUAGAGGCUUUUGAAAGACAUAUUUCUGGGUGGACCCGUUCUGAGUCUAAACCGACCCGACUAAAACCCUGCCCCAACGUUUACCAAAACCCUACACGAAGAGGUUUUCGCUCCUCCCACCUCUGACCAUCUUGGGCUCGAAUUGGAGCUCCAGGGACUGUACGGACAUGGAGAAACCUCUGGUGGCACUUGAUAAAGGCACCACCUGCUCGUCGUGGAACUACUCCAGCCAGAGAUUGGCCACUGGCUCAGUCGACGGAACGCUCGCCAUCUUCGACACGCGCGACCCAGCUUCUUCCUCUUUCUCCUGCACUUCAAAAUCGAAGGUCCCUAACUCCCGCCUGUUCCAAUUAUUUUCAAAUAUCAGGAAUUGACACAUUUCAUUUUUUUUUUUUUCCGUUUAAUUUUUCAAUUCCACUUGAAAGCUUGUGUUUUUGUGUUUAAAAAUAUUGCAAUUUUGUUUGUUUUAGGUGCAUGAGGCUGCUGGCAUUGUGAAAAUUGUUUGGGUUCCUCCAGAGUAUGGUGAUGCAGUGGCAUGUGUUUGCGCAGAUGGAACUUUGUCUCUGUGGGAGGAGGCUGCUGAAGGUAUUUUCCUUGAAUUUGUUAUCUUUUCUAACCCAGCUUCCACAAUUAUCAACUUCGAACUGAAUCAGUCUAAUUUAGCUUAUGGGAUACUGACGAAAAGUUUUUUUUAUUUUUUUAUUUUUUUACUGAGCAUUGUAUCUGAUGAAAAAUUAGGUUUUAUUGUUGUCUAGAUGCGCAACCUAUUCAAUGGAAGCUCUGCACAAGCUUUAAAAGUGGGUCCGCUCAACUGCUAGAUACCCAAUUUGGAGUCUCACCGUCAGGUUUAAAAAUGGUUAGCUUUUAUAGCUACUGUUCUGAAAUCAAGUUUGGAAAUGACAAAUGUUUAUUGUCGUACUAAUUUUUUCAUUCAUUUCUUCUAAUAUCAUUUAGGGUGCCAUGAAUAUUCAGUUGGUGCCCUUGUAGAAAAUCUGUGCAACAUACUAUGAUCAUCAUUUGCCCUGUGAGAAUGAAAUGUCAUGAACUGUAAUUUGUUUCAUUUUAUAGGUUACUGCAUAUUCUGAUGGCCAUGUCAAGGUUUAUGAGCUACUAGACCCCUUGGAUCUGAAGAAUUGGCAACUUCAGGUGAUCAUUUAUCUGAUUCAGUAUAAUAACAUACUACAGCCUGGAAAUAAGUCCUGUUGUUGUGUUAUAGUAUUAUUAUGCAGCCCAAAUUAAUGCUGAAAUUUGCAAAUUAUGUUAGUUCUGUACAAAAUUGAAACAUUAUAGGUAAAUUCUAGUUUUAUAUCUUAUAAGAUUAUUGGUGUUUUCCCCUUCAUAUAAAAUGAUACAUUGUUCUCGUGCAUAUAAAAAAGACAACAGAGGUAUAUAUAUUUGAAUGUCUAUUUCCCUAUUUUUUCAUCUAGUUGUAUGUUUUAGUGCCACGACUUAGAAUGAAUGGACCAUGAGCUUGUGUUCUGUUGCUUGUUCUCUCUUAUUUGUGGGUCUUUUUCUCUUGUACGCUCUCUUGUCAUGGUUGUACCCUUUUACUUUUUAUGACAUCUCUCCAGUUGAACCAUGAUAAAUCAUCUCCUGUGCUAUUAACUCCCUAUAUUAUGCAGAUACCAACUCCAAAGCCAACCUGCAUAAAGCAGAAAGAUUCAUUACAGAUUUUUACAGUUUGAAACUGCUCUGUAACCUUAUCUUUUCAUGAUCUUUUUGCCCAGGCUGAAUUUCAGAAUGUUAUUGAUUCAGUGUCUACGUUUGGGAAAGCCAUGUGCUUAGCUGCAUCUAUAUCUUGGAAUCCACAAAGAGGAGAGAGCCAGGAAUCCAGCUUUGUUUUGGGUUUCAAUUCAAACACACCACAACUUAAUUCUUCCAAGGUAUUCUAAAUUCUGUUUAAUCCUGUUUCCUAAUCAAUUAUCAUUAAUUUUAUGUGGCUUGUCUCCUUCAAUACACAACUUUCUCUUUUCUGCAGUAUAUUUUGAAACCAUGGUAUCAUUUCAGAUCUAGAACCUAGGUCAACUUGUCAAAAAUGAUAUUGUACAUAAUCUUAUGAUAUUACUUUACAGGUAUGGGAAUUUGAUCAGGCUCAUCAAAGAUGGCUCCCAGUUGCAGAGUUGGCUUUGCCUGGUGACAACAGUGAUCAGGUCUAUGCUGUUGCAUGGGCACCAAACAUUGGCAGGUAGGGAAUUGUCUAAUUGCUCAUGCAAGCACUGAUGAGCAAUUGGUGGGAAUCUGAAAAUAUUGUUUUCUGUCAUCAUAUAAAAUUCAAGGUUCUGCCUGUCUUAAAAUUUGAAGGAAAAAUGGCCUCAUUCCAUUUUAUAUUAGAGAGUAAAAUUGUAUAAAUUUCAUUCAGGCCCUAUGAGGUAAUUGCUGUUGCCACUGACAAGGGAAUAGCAAUAUGGCAUCUUGGAUUAAACCCUGACUCAGAUGGAAGGCUCUCAUUGGAGAAGAUUGCACAACUUUCAGGACACAACGGCGAGGUAUCCAUACUAACUAUUGAAAUUGUUAUCGAUCAUUUCAUUUUGGAGCACAAAAUCCUUACUGUUAAUCUGAUCAUGAAAAAGUGGAAUUAUAACCGUGUGUAUGUUGGAGUGAUACAAUUGUGGAGCCUUAGUAGCACAGUGUGAAUUAUCUAAUGAAAGCAAGGCUGUGAAUCUUCCUAAUUGAUUAAAGUCCUUCAUUUUAUGAUUAGGUCUGGCAGAUGGAAUGGGACAUGAGUGGGAUGACAUUGGCGACCACCGGGAAUGAUGGGGCAGUACGGUUGUGGCAGUCUAAUUUGAACGGCGUUUGGCAUGAAGAGGCUACAUUUGAACCCACUUCCUAGUCCCUUGCGACCUCUGUUGCUACAUGUUAAAAUGGCAAAUUCUCUGUUUUACGAGAAAACACAGUUUGUAAUCUCAUGGUAACAUGGUUGCCCUACUUAGUUUUAGAUCACUAGGUUUAAGCACUGUGCGGCAAACCCAAGAUCAGUAAGAAAGAAGAUUUGUGAUUGUAACUUUACACAUUGGUUCAAAUUUGAAAUUUUGUUGGUGAAUCUUUGUCAGCUUUGCGCUAUCACCAUUGUAUUAUGUAUGCAUGACAAAAAGUGACAUGUCAUUUUUAUAGAAGCGAAAAAGUGGAAAACAAAUGAAAAUAAAGAAGAAGGGAAUCACCAGUCAAUUGACUCAAUUAUGAAAAAUAGACUGAGAAAAUAAAAUUGAAUGAAGAUAAUCGACAGCUAUCUGGCCUUUCUUGUGUUUUGUUUUCUCGUUUUUAUUGGUCCCUGAAUUUGUUGAAAUUCUUCAUUCUCAAACCCUCAACUCAAUUAAUCAGUUAAUGUAAGUCUUUAAUCUUUUGAUCCACACAUCAAUUUAGUCACUACCGGCAAUACUUUCGUUAAAGUCUCAACCAUCCAAUAUAAGUCAUUGAUUUCCGAAUUUAGGAACUUUUAAAAGUGAACCAUUUAUUAAAAAAAACCCCUUUUUUUUAUUUGGUUGGGCAAGGGUUGGGUUAUGUUAUCAACUAUAUUUUUUUUUUGGGUAAGUACCAUGAGGUGUCCGGGUCAGUUUGCGCACACCUCGAUUAAUCCCCACUAGCGAAACUGAGCCUGCCGUUGACCACCAGGUGUUGAACUGUUGGGGCUCGAAUUGGGGAGCAAACCCAGCUGAACCCCAAAGCCUUACCCAAUGUCACCACCAUGACUCUAAUAUUAUAGUGCUCCAUAUGAGCAUUAUCAUAUAGAGCACCAUAAUAUUAGAGAAGUGGUGGUGACAUAUCAUAUGGAGCACCAUAAUAUUAGAGUUGUGGUGGUGACAUUGGCAACUUUUUCUGGACUUGACAACUUGCAGAACAAUUGACUAAUGAGCACCUCAUCCUCCUCUGUUUCUGACUCUGCGUGGAUCACCUAGUUUUAACCAUACAUGGUGUUACAUAUGACUGGUUUGAAAAUAAUAUUGAUUCAUCCGAACAAAUAAGCAGGGCAACAACAAUGGAGAAGAACAAAAUUCCAAAGUUUGUGUUACAGGGGCUUCUGGAUACAUUGGUUGUUCCAUUGUUUAAAAGCUUCUAGAGAAGGGCCAUAUUGUCCAUACCACUUUGAGGAACUUGGGUCUCUCUCUCUCUCUCUCUCUCUCUCUCUCUCUCUCUCUCUCUCUCUCUCUCUCUCUCAGAGCAAGUUAUUGCUCUUCCAGGCAGAUACAUAUGAUCCCAAUGAAUUUGAACCAGCCAUUUAAGGGUGUAAGUUUGUUUUUCAUGUGGCCACUCCAAUGCAACAUAACCCCAAAAGCUCUCAGGUCAGCCAGUCAGUCUCUCAACUUGAAUAUGCAGUACAAGGACACAGCUGAAGCUGCUGUUGCUGGGGUGAGGAACAUUGCUGAUUCUUGCAUUCGAUCAAACACCCGCUGAUCGACACAGCAAGCAUUUUUGCUUCGUCCACGAGGACAGAAGACGGGAUUGGAUUCGAACCCUGCUUGAUGAAUCAUGUGGGACAGCUCUUGAUGUCUCAUUUACUAGUACUAGUGUUAGAUUGUAGGGGAAACAAAGUGAUUUUAUUAUAUUUGAUGGAAAAUAGUACAUAGCUUGAUGUAGGCUAAUUGGCCUCUUUAAUUUUUUGGUUUAUUGGCCAUCACACUUGCUUAGAUUAGUUUGGGCUAUUUGGCCCUUACACUUAAAUUGAUGAGCUUUUUGGCUCCUCAACAUAUAGGGAUGGCAACGGGUCGGGUAGGGGCCCGGUAUGACAAUACCAUCUCCAUUCCCGCUUCCGUCUUCGAACCCAUCUCCGUUUAUUAGGUUUCGGGGAAUCCCCGUUUAUUAGGUUUCGGGGAAUCCCCGUUCCCGUCCCCAUCGGGGGACUAUUUCCCAUACCCGUCCCGAAUUCCCGAUUUUUUUGUAUAAAAAAAUAUUUAUCAUACAUUUUAACAUUAUGUUUCAUAUUAAAUUAUCAUUCAACACAUCCAAAUUAACUAUAAAGUUCAACUCAACAAUUCAAAAUCAUAUCAAUAUGAAAUUCCAUAGAAAAUUAGAAAAAAUUAGGAGAGGGAAGUUAACUUAAGGUUAAACAUAAAUAUUAUAAUGAUAUAUUUAUUUAUUUAAAUAUAAACAUAUAUAUUUUCAGAUCGAAUUCAAAAAUGAGGACGCCAAUACCAUCUCCUCUCCAUAUCGGCCCCUACCCGACCCGUUGCCAUCCCUAAUCCCUAUCAACAUAGCUUUAUUUGGGUAGCUCUUGGCUCUAUUAGUUUGGGAGUUCUUUUCAGGGGGCUCCACUUUGCUUGGGAAGGCUACAAGUCCUUUUACAGAUGAGAGUUGCCGACACCACCAAGUCCACCGACUUGGCUUUUUAUUUCCAGCCACAUGUUUAAACGACAUAGUUGGAGAACUUCUCCACAAUUCUUUACUGCAUACUUUCUUGGUUUUUCUGGAACAUUCUUCGAUCUUUAAUUGUGUUAGCCAACAUUCCCUUCAAGCUUAUAGCACUUUCUUCAAGCUUCUAGAUUUUUUAUUUUAUACAAAUGUGUAUUAAUUUUAAUAGCUACUGAUUUUUUAAUGGUACCUUUUCUUGCUCUCACUGUCUUACUCUCCAACUAAUUAAGACUUAAUUUGUAGUGCUCUAUGAUUAAAAUUUUAAUCACUGUGUUUGAUUUUAAUCUGGAAAUGUGUUCAAGGACUAUAUCAAAUCAAAGACAUUAGCGGAGAAAGCAGUGUUGAGCUAUAAUGUUUUGAUGGUGGUAAACUGGAAGUGGUAACACUUCCUUGUGGCUUGGUGGGAGGAGAAACUCUUCUUUCAUAUUUGCCUGGAAGCGUGGGAGUAUUUCUAUCACAACUUACUAGGGACUUGCCUUUUUACAAUGCACUAAAAUUACUGCAAGAAAUUACCGGUUCGGUUCCUUGUACACAUUGAAGAUGUCUGCCAAGCGCAUAUCUUCAGCAUGGAACAUUCAUCAAUGAGAGGUAGAUUCUGCUGUGCAGUUGCCAAUCCCACUAUCAAAGAAAUUGCAAUUUACUUCCAAGAAAACUACAAGGAAUACAAGAUGAAGAUAGCAAAAGAGUAAGGGAUCCAACCUAAUUUUCAAUCUUCAUAACUUCUAUGAAAAAUAUGUCUAGUUUUGAACCUUUGGCUCUGCCAAUGUUCCCAUUUUCAUAGAUUUUAUGAUUCUGAAUUCCAUUUCAGAUUGACUCAAGGACCAGAAGAAGGAACCAAACGUGACUUUUACUAAGCUGGUGAAGGUGGGGUUUGAGUAUAAGUACGGCAUGAAGGAUGUACUAGAUGAUAGUGUAGCAUGUGGAAGGCUUUUCAUUUGGAGCUCUUUUUCUCAGGUAAUUUAAUUAGCAUCCCUGCAUUAUGUGGGGAUAGAUAUACUGAUAUAAAAGCUUGCAGCAUUUUUCAUUGUAACGUUUAUAUAUGAAAAGUUAGGCUACAGUAGAAUAAAACCAUACCCAGAAAAAAGGACAUGUACAACUUAAGUGGUAAUGUACUUUCAUAUUCAGUGAACUAAAAUAAGUGUAAUUGGGUCAGGCUUGGCUUAGCUUCCGAGUCCGCCAACCAAACUUUAGUGGACCAUGUAGACUUCAACUCUUGUGAUGAGAAGAAUGAUAUGUGAUCUUGUUGUGUGGACGAAAGACAUUCCGCGUAAGCAUCAAUUGACAAAAGGAGUAACACUCAAUGAUCACAUCUUUUCUUUUUGGGGGACCAAUUAUAAAAUGGGCACGCACCCAGAUAGCAUUCACUGAAAAAAGACAAAGGGCAACAAUGGAGAAGAACAAAAUUUCUAGAGUUUGUGUUACAGGGGGUGCCGGAUUCAUUGGUUGUUCGCUUGUUAAAAAGCUCCUAGAGCAGGGCCAUACUGUCCAUGCCACUCUGAGGAACUUGGGUCUCUCUCUCUCUCUCUCUCUCUCUCUCUCUCUCUCUCUCUCUCUCUCUCUCUCUCUCUCUCUCUCUCUGUGCGCAUCUGUUAUGCAUGCUUGUAUUUUAACCCUCUUAUGGUAUCUUUUUACUCCAUAUGUGCUGCAGAGGAUGCAUCCAAAGUAGGCCUUCUCAAGUCCCUCCCUAAUGCAGACACCAAAUUGUUGCUUUUCCAAGCUGACAUAUAUGACCCCAAUGAGUUUCAACCAGCCAUCCAAGGAUGUGAGUUUGUUUUUCACGUGGCCACUCCGAUGCAGCAUAACAACCAAAGCUCUCAGGUUACACACUCAUACUAGCUAUAACAUAUGGGAUUGGACUUAAUUAGUCUAAUAUCAUGUUUGUAGGACAAUAUGUUCAAACAAAAGGGCUGGGAUAACUUAGUCCAAUUAGUACAAUCUUGAACAACAAUCCAAUUCAUUCUCAGGCGCGAAAUGAAGCCUUGGUUUUCUUUCUUGUGUGAUGGUUUGAUUAUUGAAAUCUGGUGCUUGACAGUUUGAGAAUUUGAACAUACAUGCAGUACAAGGACACAGCUGAAGCUGCUGUUGCUGGGGUGAGGAUUAUUGCCGAGUCUUGCAUUCGCUCACAGACCGUUAAGCGACUCAUCUACACUGCAAGCAUCCUUGCUGCGUCACCAAGGAGAGAAGAUGGGGUUGGAUUCAAACCCUGCCUUGAUGAAUCAUGUUGGACAUCUCUUGAUGUCUCACCUACUUAUUCAACUGAAUUUUCAAUGGUACCUCUUCUUGUUCUGUCUAUGAAACUGGCUAUUGAAAUCAACCUUGUGUUUGAUUUAUUAAUAUUAAUCCUUAUGUUUGAUUUUUAAUAUGGAAAUGUGCUCAAGGGGUAUAUCAUAUCAAAGACAUUAGCAGAGAGAGCAGUGCUGAGCUAUAAUGACAUUGAUAAUGGUAAACUGGAAGUGGUAACACUUCCUUGUGGCUUGGUGGGAGGAGAAACUCUUCUUUCAUAUUUGUCUGGAAGCGUGGGAGUAGUUAUAUCACAACUUACCGGGGACUCGUUUGGUUACAAUUCAUUAAAAUUGAUGCAAGAAGUUAACGGUUCGGUUCCUCUUGUACACAUUGAAGAUGUUUGCCAAGCACAUAUCUUCUGCAUGGAACAACCAUCCAUGAGAGGUAGAUUCUGCUGCGCAGUUUCCAGUCUGAACAUCAAAGAAAUUGCGAGCUACUUCCAAGAAAAUUACCCAGAACACAAAAUAGCAAAAGAGUAAGGAUCCAACUUAAUUUCAUUUUUUGAAAGAUUUCCUUACUUUUGAACUUUUAACUCCAGCAAUUUUAUCCGUUUUCUUCGAUCAUGAAUGUGUGAAUUCAUUUCAGAUUCAUUGAAGGACCAGAAGAAGGAAGCAAAUGUGACUUCAGUAAGCUGAUGAAGAUGGGUUUUGAGUAUAAGUAUGGCGUCAAGAAUAUACUAGAUGACAGUGUAGAAAGUGGACGGAGGUUAAGUAGGAGCUCUCAUUCUCAACUAAUUUAACCUUUUGUUUUGAUCAGAACUAAAGUAAUGUAAUUUGUGUCACUGCAUUAUGUGGGGAUGGAUAUACUCGAUACAAGCUUUGCAGCGUUCAUCAUACAUCUAUAUAAUCAUCUCUCAAUUGUAAAUAAAACAAAUUGCAGUACAAGUGAACUUCUAAAAAAAGCAAGAGCAAGUUUAAUAGCUAAAACCAAACCAAGAACGGACAUGAGCAUCUUAGAUGCAAUUACUGCUGAAUGUUGUGUUCCUCUUCACAUUCUAGCAACAUUUGCACUACUGAAUCCAUUGUUGGUCUUUUGUUCCUAUCUUCCUCCACACAGGAAAUACCAAUCUCAACCAUCUUUGCUGCUUGGUUCCUGCUGAAUUGCCCUUCCAAUCUUGGAUCCAACAUAUCCUCCAUCCAUUGAUCUUCCCCACAUUGAAUCUUCCUUUUGGCUACCUUGACAAACCUCUUCAGCUCUGCUUCCUCCCCGUCAGAAUUCUCCACCACCCGAUUCGAAAAUCGAAUGCCCUUCAAUAUCUCUAGAAGCACCACUCCGUAACUGUAAACAUCCACUUUUGCAGUGAUUGAAAGGUUCAAAGCCCACUCCGGGGCCAUAUACCCUUUUGUUCCUCGAAUGUGAGAGGAUACUGAAUUGAGGCCACCUCUCUGGGAUAACUUCGCCAGGCCAAAAUCUGCAAUUUUUGGUUCAAAAUUACUGUCUAGGAGUAUAUUUUCAGGCUUCACAUCACAAUGAAUAACCCAUUCUAGACACUCAUGGUGAAGAUAGGCUAAACCUUUAGCAAUCCCUAGUGCAAUUUUAAAUCUCUCUUUCCAUCCAAGGAAAUUUGGGGGGAACAAAUGCUUGUCCAAUGAUCCGUUUUCAACAUACUCAGAGAUUAGAAGUCUCUGUUUAUCUUCCGAACAGAAUCCCCAUGUUCUCAGUAGGUUCAUGUGAUUGACUUUCACAAUUGUGCUUACUUCUGCCCAAAAUACUUGUUCUCCUUUAUAAAUAUCUGCCAAUUUCUUGAUAGCUACCACUCUUUCAUCUGACAGAACACCCUUAUAUACAACCCCGGAAGCCCCUCUUCCCAGCUCUUCUUUAAAGUUUUUGGUUGCCUUCUUGAGCUCAGCAUAGAGGAACAUUCUGAAUUGACUUGAAAGCAAAGCAUAUCCAUCUUCUUGGGGAGGUGCCGCACCAUGUGAUCUUCUGAAAAGUAACCACCAACCUGAUAAUAUGAAGAGAAAUUCGACUGCACCAAUUGCAGAAGCAAAAGAAUACAGAUAUAUCCAUCUCUCCCUUUUACUGGUACUGGUGUGAGUAGUUGACACAUUGAUCCUGCACGUAUUAAAGACAUUAGGAUUUGUGGGUGGUGACGUAUCCACACUCUGAGGCAGCCUUAAGUAAAUACUGCCCGGAAUAUUUGGAGACACGUACCCAUUGAAGAGAGCACCUUUUGUGUAACAACUGUCUUCCCUAUAGCUAAAUGCUUGACAACGGCAAUCCUCCAAGCACUGUUUUCUGCAACGGAGAAAAGAAAUGGAUUCAUAAUAAAUGAGAUCAAAUCCAUAGAAAUCUGCAUGCUGAAUCUGCAUGAAUUUCCAUUGCUGGGACUGUGAGCAUGUAGGCUGGAAUUUAGGCUUGCAACCCUUGUGCCAGUCAGUUGUAUCAGCUACCUCAUAUCCCCGAGGGCAUGAGCACUUGCCCCUCUGAUGUAUAGACACAAAUCCCAUUUCUUCCACAGAUCCCAUGCACCUUGCACUGCUGCGUAAGAGCUUGCCAGGUGAUCACCCAUGAUUCUGUUGAACCACUGAGACUAUAAAGUCUCAGGUUUCCAUCGUAAUCCAUCGUUAACCGCCUUUUUACUCUCAUACCCAUGUCAAAAGCACUGAACUUCAAGUCAUCACUUGAGACAAAAUUUCCCAUUUCAUCAAAACCAGCAAUUCUGCUAGUGUUGUAGUUUGUUCUACCAUUAGCAAGUACUCUGUUACUAGGAUUAGGCCAAUAUACGCUUGUCAUAUCCGGACCAUCAUAAAUCAACCUCAAAACAUUGUCAUUAUCAAAAUAAAAACUAUAGUAGCCAGUACCGAAGUUCCCUUUUCCCAACAUAGAUAUUAGCUUCAUGCUCUUUGUAAAGGGUUGAUUUGGGAGGAGAGUAUCAGUGGGAAAAUCAAAGCUUUGCCAGAGAGUUUUACCUUGUGAGUCUUUCAAAACAAGGUUGCCAGAAUUCAAAAGCUCUGCCCUUUCAGCACCACCAGUGGGAGUGGAGGUACUGCUCUCCCAGACAAUUGUGCCAUCCACAUCUCUCAAGACCAUGGAGCCAUCUCGACUCAGUGAAACUCUGGACCCCAUGCCAUUGACUGGUCUUUCUCUGUUAGCCAUCCAGACGACGGUUCUGUCCUUAGAAUUUGUGAACCAUAUGGAGAACCAAUAGGCGUUUGUGCCCACCCCAAAGAACCCACAUGUGAAAGACUUAUCUGGGGAGAUUAGGAAAUCAGAAUCAUCUUCCACUGAAAGAGAAGAGCCUCUUUCCAAACUGUUCCUGGUUUUUGCAGUUGCAAAACAGUAGAAAAAUAGAGUGGUGACUAAAAUGAGAAAACAUUUUGGAGAGAGAACAGGCCGGUAGCAUCCCAUUGUUGGACUUGGAGUUGAAGUUUGGUUUCGAAGUCUUUUAUUGGACUUGGAGUUGAAACAUGGGACUACCAUAUGUUGGAAAGUAACAACUAAAAAUGAAAAGCACAAUGGUUGUUAAGUAAAGUGGCCGGUGGUCUUUGUGUGCAGCACAUUCUCACAAGCUUGUCACAUUCACAUUUGCAGCAGUUUCUUUGAACUUGCUUGCAACAGUGUUUGAUUUUUCUUCCACCAUUCACUUUCUACGAAGACUUUGGUGUUUCCUGUGAAAGGAAUAUGAGUGUGUCUACAUUUUAUGCAUCUCAUUCAAGUUGAAGUACAUAAGCAAGCAAGAGUAGUAACUCUUCAGUAUAUUAGAGUAUUUCUUUCAUCAAAUACUUGUUUCUUUCUUUGCGUCUUGGUCCCAAUGUCUUUGAGAGUAAAAACUGAUAAGUGUGAUAAAGUUUGUAAACUCAAUACCAACAAUAUAUAAUAUAGUACAAUAAUACAAGACAACGAGGUCUUGCUCAGUGAAAAAAGUCAUUAACUUGUAGACCAAUCUCAGGUUCGAAUCCCCAUGACACCUUGAUAGUGUGUGUAUGUGAGAAACCCCCUAUCUCCUUGCAGUUUAGACUACGUUUUCUAUUUUAUAUAUAUAAUACAAGCCACUGCCCAGCUUGGCUUUGGCCCCUAUAUGUUUUCCAAGUGUAAUGUAACCCUGACUGACUAUCCUGCUCCCAACGUUUCAAUUUCCAAAUUUUCAUCCAAGCAUGUUUUUAUGGUUUACUUGUUAUGAAAGAAAUGGAAAUAUUUGCAAUUCAGCUAUGGCUAUGAUAUGAGCACGCGACUAUUUGAAAGAGUAUAGCAUUCUCUUUUUUUCUUUUUCUUUUUAAAUUUAUAAAUGACUUGGAUUCUUUCCUCGGGGCUAAUCAUUAUUCAAUAGAAGAAAGGACACUUCACGGUUAGGCAUUAUCAUACCUGGUGUUACGCACCAUCUUGAACACAGAGAAAAAUAUGACCCAAAAAAUGAAAGAAUAAUUUAUGUGAAAAAUUUGAGAUACUACAAUGGAUAAGUAGAAGUUCGUGGGAUGAGAAUCCAAUCCAAUCUUAGUCCAAAGAUAAACUAAUUCAAUAAAGUCCCAGUUUUGAACAACAAUCCAAUCCAAUCCAAUCUUACUUUCAGCCUGCGAAAUGAAGCCUUAGGAAUCCUUGUCUAAAUGUGUCAAGGGACCAUUAAGUCCUACUAACAUAAAAAGUGCAAACAGGCAGUGGCCAGCAAUAGAUAUUUGCCCUAUGAUAUAACACAAGAUGAUUUAUCAACACUAAAUCAUUAUGUUUGAUCUUUAAGCAGCGAAGAAUGGUACUAGAAUAAAACCAAAACCAAGAAAAACGACAUGUAGAGUUUAAAUGCAUGACAUAAGCUAAUUUACUCUCAUGUUUUGUGAACCAAAAUAAGUGUAAUUAGGUCAAGACAGUGGCUUACCUACCGGGUCGGCUCCCGGUUGGCUUCAACUUUGGUGAUGUUGUCAAGUACCAGCUAUUUUCAUAUGUUGACGAAAGGCAUUCCUAGCAUCAAUUGACAAAAGGGUCAGCAUCAAUUGCAUAUGUUUUUCUGUUUUUUGUGUUUUGUUUGUUUUUGUGUGUGUCUAUGACAUUGGUAAGUUUUGCUGGACUUCUUGGCAAUAGCUGGUUAGGACCCAUAUAUUCUGUAUGACAUGUUUCCCAAAUCAAAGGCAACAAUGGAGAAGAACAAAAUUUCUAGAGUUUGUGUAACAGGGGCUGCUGGAUUCAUUGGCUAUUCGCUUGUUAAAAAACUCCUAGAGCAGGGCCAUACUGUCCAUGCCACUCUGAGGAACUUAGGUUGCUCUCUCUCUCUCUCUCUCUCUCUCUCUCUCUCUCUCUCCCUCUCUUUCUCUCUCUCUCUCUCCCUAUGAAACUGCUAUGUAUGCUUGUAUUUUAUCUGCACAACCCUCUUAUCUGUACUAUGUAUGGUCUCCAUAUAUGAUGCAGAUGAUGCAUCCAAAGUAGGCCUUCUCAAGUCCCUCCCUAAUGCAGACAGCAAAUUGUUGCUGUUCCAAGCUGACAUAUAUGACCCCAAUGAGUUUCAACCCGCCAUCCAAGGGUGUGAGUUUGUCUUUCAUGUGGCCACUCCAAAGCAGCAUGUCAACCAAAGCUCUCAGGUCAGGCACUCGUACUUUUUAGGCAAGAUAACAAUCCAAUUCAAUCAUGCUCGCCAAAUGAAGCCUUGGUUGUUUGAUAGUUUGAUUAUUGAAAGCUGGUGCAUGACAGUUUGAGAAUUUGAACAUAUAUGUAGUACAAGGACACAGUUGAAGCUGCUGUUGCUGGGGUUAGGACCAUUGCUGAAUCUUGCAUUAGCUCACAGACCGUUAAGCGACUCAUCUACACUGCAAGCAUGCUAGCUGUGUCACCGAGGAGAGACGACGGGGUUGGAUUCAAACCCUGCCUUGAUGAAUCAUGUUGGACACCUCUUGAUGUCUCAUUUACUUAUGCCACUGAUUUUUCAAUGGUACCUCUUCUUGCUUGUGAAUGAAAUUAGGUCUUAAUGUUUCAUUAAUUAAAAUUAAUCUUUAUGUAUGAUUUUAAUCUGGAAAUGUGCUCAAGGGGUAUAUCAUAUCAAAGACAUUAGCAGAGAGAGCAGUGCUGAGCUAUAAUGACAUUGAUAAUGGUAAACUGGAAGUGGUAACGCUUCCUUGUGGCUUGGUGGGAGGAGAAACUCUUCUGUCAUAUUUGGCUACUAGUGUGGGAGUACUUAUAUCACAACUUACUGGGGACUCUUUUGGUUACAAUGGAUUAAAAUUGAUGCAAGAAGUUAACGGUUCGGUUCCUCUUGUACACAUUGAAGAUGUCUGCCAAGCACAUAUCUUCUGCAUGGAACAACCAUCCAUGAGAGGUAGAUUCUGCUGUGCAGUUGCCAGUCCGAAUAUCAACGAAAUUGCGAGCUACUUCCAAGAAAAUUAUUCAGAACACAAGAUAGCAAAAGAGUAUCGAUCCUACUGAAUUUCAUUUUUUUUAUGACAGAUUUCCACUACUUUUAAUUUUUAACUCCAGAAUUUUACUCAUUUUCUUUGAUCAUGAAUGUGUCAAUUCAUCACAGAUUCACUGAAAGCAUCGAAAGACUAGAAGAAGGAAGCAAAUGUGACUUCAGUAAGCUGAUGAAGAUGGGUUUUGAGUACAGGUAUAGCAUGAAGAAUAUACUAGAUGACAGUGCAACAAGUGGAAGGAGGUUAACUAGGAGCUCUUUUUCUCAACUUAUUUAACUCUUUGUUUUGAUCAAAACACAACUAGAUGUAAUUUGUUCAUCAUGCAUCUGCAUAAUCAUGGCUCAAUUGCAAAUAAUUCAAAUUGCAGUACAAGUAAACUUUUAAAAAGGCAAUAGCAAGUUUAAUAGCUAAAACCAAACAAAGAAUGAACAUCAGCAGCUUAGAUGCAAUUACAUCUGAAUGUUGGGUUCCUCUUCAUAUUCUAGCAACAUUUGCACUACUAAAUCCCUUGGUCUUAUGUUCCUAUCUUCCUCCACACAGGACAUACAAAUCUCAACCAUCUUUGCUGCUUGGUUCCUGCUGAACACCCCUUCCAAUCUUGGAUCCAACAUAUCCUCUAUCCAUUCAUCUUCCCCACUUUGAAUUUUUCUUUUCAGGCUUCACAUCACAAUGAAUAACCCAUUCUAGACACUCAUGGUGAAGAUAGGAUAAACCUUUAGCAAUCCUUAGUGCAAUUUUAAACCUCUCUUUCCAUCCAAGGAAAUUUGGGGGGAACAAAUGCUUGUCUAAUGGUUUGCUUUCAACAUACUCAAGAGAAGAGAACUCUGUGUUUAUCUUCAGAACAGAAUUCCCAUGUUCUCACCAGGUUCAUGUGAUUGACUUUCACAAUUGUGCUUACUUCUGCCCAAAAUACUUCUCCUUUAUAAAUAUCUGCUAAUUUCUUGACAGCUACCACUCUUUUAUCUGCCAGAACACCCUUAUAUACAACCCCGGAAGCCCCUCUUCCCAGCUCUUCUUUAAAGUUUUUGGUUGCCUUCUCGAGCUUAGCAUAGAGAUACAUUCUGAAUUGACUUGAAAGCAAAUCAUAUCCAUCUUCUAGAAACAAGCUUAAACUGAAUAGACUUGCAAUAGGGUUCAUCAUAAUUAGGGGUGGUUGCGGUUCGGUAACCGCGAAUUUUUACUCAAACCGCAAACCGAUCGACUAUUUGCGGUUUGGUGAUUUUUGAAACCGCAAACCGACCGUGUUUUGCGGUUUACCGCAUUGCGGUAAACCGCAAAAAUGCGGUCGGUUACAGCUAAUUUGCGGUUUAAAACCGCAAAUUCUCAAGCAUUCACAAAAAUAUAAAUUUACAACCUAAAUAAAUAAAUACACAACCUUAAUUUCUCAAGCAUAUAUAAAUUCACAAUCGAUUCCAAUUCUCAAGCAUUCACAACCUAAGAAAAUUAAAGUUACAAUUCCAAACAUUCCAAUUAAAGUUAAACUUCUCAAGCAUUCCAAUUCCAAAUCCUUUAAAUUUACAAACCAAAAGCAAAAUGAAUUAAAGUUACAACCAAAAAGAAAAAUCCAAUUCACAGUUAAUUAAAGUUACAAACUAAAAGGAAAAAUGCAAUACACCAAUGUUACAAACUCAAGUGUUGGUGGUGAGUGGAUUUGAAGAACCCCUUUGUGUUGUUUGAGCACCAAUGCUAUCUACAAAUAAAACAACAUAGUUUAGUACAUUUUAUUAUAAGAAGAAGCAUAAAUAACACUAGCAUAAAUAAACUAAUUACUUACAAGUUGUCAUAUCUUCCAUUUCCUUGUAGAAUUCAACCUCAUCAUCUGUUGGUUCCUUGUAAAAGGAAAAUUCGUCCGCUCUAAGCCAAUCACUAGUACACACUAAUGCCUCUACCAUUUUAGGAUGCAAAGAGCUUCUAAAAGGAUCCACAAUCCUCUUGCCUAGGCUAAAAGCAUUUUCACUAGCAACCGUAGAACUUGGAAUUGCAAAGAUAUCCUUGGCAACUUGUGAAAGAAUAGGAUAUCUUGUUCGGUUCCCUUUCCACCAAUUCAAGAGAAGAGAAGGGUUUACAAUUUUACUUAAUUAUUUAUAGAGUAUAGCCGUGCGGCUAUACUUUGCGGUUUGCGGUAACCGCAAAUUUUGAAAAUCAAAUACCGCAACCGCAACCGUAAAUGCGGUUCGGUUCUUAAUACCGCGAUUGCGGUUUUAUUGCGGUAAAAUAUCGGUUGGUUUUUGCGGUUUUUCGGUUUUUCGGUUUAAAAUGCCACCCCUAAUCAUAAUCUAUAUUUUAUCACUCAUUUGCCGACGAAUACACAACAUAGUUCAAGUAAACAUUUGUAAUUCAAAAAGAAACAUUACUUACAGCAUACAGCUUAAAUCCAAUUACUACUGAAUGUUGGAUUCCUCUUCACAUUCUAGCAACAUUUGCACUACUGAAUCCAUUGUUGGUCUUUUGUUCCUAUCUUCCUCUACACAGGAAAUACCAACCUCAACCAUCUUUGCUGCUUGGUUCCUGCCGAACUGCCCUUCCAAUCUUGGAUCCAACAUAUCCUCUAUCCAUUCAUCUUCCCCACAUUGAAUUUUCCUUCUGGCUAUCCUGACAAACCUCUUCAUCUCUGCUUCUUCCUCCUCAGCAGUAUCCACCACCCGAUUUGAAAGUCGAAUGCCCUUCACUAUCUCUAGAAGCACUACACCAUAACUGUAAACAUCCACUUUUGCAGUGAUUGAAAGGUUCAGAGCCCACUCCGGGGCCAUAUACCCUUUUGUUCCUCGAAUGUGAGAGGACACUGCAUUGAGGCCGCCUCUCUGGAAUAACUUUGCCAGCCCGAAAUCUGCAAUCUUUGGUUCAAAAUUACUGUCUAGGAGUAUAUUUUCAGGCUUCACAUCACAAUGGAUAACCCAUUCUAGACACUCAUGGUGAAGAUAGGCUAAACCUUUAGCUAUCCCGAUUGCAACUUUGAACCUCUCUUUCCAUCCAAGAAAAUUUGGGGGAAACAAGUGCUUAUCCAAGGAUCCAUUUUCAACAUAUUCAGAGAUUAGAAGUCUGUGUUUACCUUCAGAACAGAAUCCCCAAGUUCUCACUAGGUUCAUGUGAUUGAUUUUUUCAAUUGUGCUGACUUCUGCCCAAAAUACUUCUUCCGCUUGAUAAAUAUCUGCCAAUGCCUUGACAGCUAUCACUCUUUCAUCGGCCAAAACACCCUUAUAUACAGUCCCAGAACCCCCUCUUCCCAGUUCUUCCUUGAAGUUUCUGGUUGCUUUCUUCAGCUCAGCAUAGAGAUACAUUCUAAAGUUACUUGAAAUCAAGCGAUAUUUAUCUACCAAGGGAGCUGACAUACCUUGUGAUCUUCUGAAAAAGAACCACCAACCUGAUAAUAUGAAGAGAAAUUCAACAGCACCGAUUGCAGCAGCAAAAGAAUACAGAUAUACCCAUCUCACCGUUUUACUGGGAUUGUCAUACAUUGAAGAAGUACCUAUUUUAACAGCAUUAGUCCUGCAUGAAUUAAAUACAGUGAGAUUGGCCGCUGGUGAGGUUUCCAUACUCAGAGGCUCAGGCAGCCUUAAGUAUAGACUGCCCUCGAUAGUUGGAGACCUGAGCCCACUGAAGAGAGCACCUUUUGUGUAACACUUCUGUCCCCUAUAGACAAAUGCUUCACAACGGCAAUCCUCGACACAGAGUUUUGUGCAAUUCUGAAUGGAAGUGGAUUCACUGUAAUUGAGAUCAAAUCCAUAGAAAUCUACGUACUGAAUCUGCUUGAAUUUCACUCUCUGGGACUGAGAGCAUGUAGGCUUGAACUUAGGCUUGCAACCCUUGUUCCAGUUACUUGUAUCCACUGCCUCAUAGCCAGGAAGGCACGAGCACUUAAGCUCUGGUGUAUAAACACAAAUCCCAUUUCUCCCACAGAUCCCAUGCACCCUGCACUGCUGUGCUAGAGCUUCCCAGGUGAUCACCCAUGAUCCUGUCGAGUUUAGACUAUAAAGUCUCAGGUUUCCAUCAUAAUCCGUUGUCAACCUUCGUUUCACCCUUGCACCCAUGUCAGAAGCACUGAAUAUCAAGUCAUCACUGGAUACAAAAUUGCCCAUUUCAUCAAAAACAGCAAUUCUACUACUAUUGUAGUCUGUUCUACCAUUCUGAUAUACACUCAAACCAGGCCCAGGCCAAUACACACUUGAUAUGUCAGGACCAUCAUAAAUCAACCUCAAAACAUUGUCAUUAUCAAAAUAGAAACUAAAAUAUCCAGUACCAAAGUUGCCUCUUCCCAAACUAGAUGUCAGCUUCAUGGUCUUUGUAAAGGGUUGAUUUGGGAGGAGAGUAUCAGUGGGAAAAUCAAAGCUUUGCCAGAGAAUUUUACCUAGUGGGUUUUUCAAAACAAGGUUGCCAGAAUUCAAAAGCUCCGCCCUUUCAGCACCAGUGGGAGUUGAGUUGGUGCUGCUAUCCCAGACAAUUUUGCCGUCCACAUCAGUCAAGAUCAUGGUGCCAUCUCGACUCAGUGAAACUCUGGACCCCAAAGCAUUGACUGGUCUGUCUCUGUUAGCCAUCCAAACAAGGGUCUUGUUCUCGGAAUUUGUGAACCAAAUGGAGAACCAGUAGGCAUUUGUGCCCACCCCAUAGAACCCACAUGUAAAAGACUUAUGUGGGGAAGUUAGGAAACCAGAAUCAUCUUCAACUGAAAAAGAAGAGCCUCUUUUUAAACUCUUCUGGGUUUUUGCUGUUGCAAAACAACAACAAAAUACAGUGAUGACUAGAAGAAUAAGAAAGCAGGGAAAUUUUGGAGAUGACGCGGUUUGGUGGUAUGCCAUUUUUGGAGGUUCCACUUUGGUGAACACAAUUUAAAGGGACUAUAAGUAAGGAAAAUUCUACAGUGGGCUUGGCGCAUGGAUGCGCCCAUUGUUACAGACCAUUGGAUGAGUAGUUGGUGAUGUGGAGGUAUCCACACCGUUGAGUUAAUUACCAGAUAAAUCGGUGGUUGUAGGUAAAAAGAAAACAAAAACAAAAGCUCUCCUUCAGUAGCAUUGGGUUUCUCUUUUCUCUCUCUUCCGUUUCGACUCCUUCCAAAAUCGCUCCUCUCCUCCUCCUGUGACGACGAGACAGCGCGACGAACACAACUCCUCUCCUCUCAGGUAUCUCUCUCUUUCUUCUCCCUAAUUGUCUCUCUCAUCUCUAUAUCUCAUUGACGCAGCACAAGCAACAAAAGUUUCAAGCGAAACCUUGAGUAAUAAGAAAUCUGGAUUCCACCAGAAACUAAGAGGAAUUCUCUUGGGAUAAUAGAAACGUCAGACAAACCUGUCUAAAUACGCAACUCUCAACCCUUGAACUACUAGGGGAGUUAUUACAUUAAAACUGAAAAACAUAAUUAAUUCAGAGACUUAACUACGUAACUCCGAAACUGAAAAAAACAGAAUUUAUUCAGAGAAUUAACUAUGAAACUUUGAAUCCAGUUUUGAAAGGCCAAACGAUCUCAGAAUACCAAAAUCUAUCGUACAUCACUGCAAAGCUGUGAGUUUGGCUCGUGGCGUCGUUCCCUUUCCGAAAUGGUAUUUUGCGUCCUAAUCGGAGCUCGGACAACAAAUCUGCAAAUUUCCGCUACGUCCUUUUCUAGCUCAACCGCGAUAAAAUCUGCCAUCUGUUUUACAUCACUCAUGGUCUCUCAAUCUCCUUCCCAGGCUUCGUUUCAAAACCAAACCCAUACCAAAAAUCUCAGCCCCAAUUGAAACCCCCAUUUAGCUCGAUCCCUGCGUCUAUCUCCCAAGAUAAUUUUAAUUAUUCAAGGUUUGAGUUUUCUAAUUUAUAUUGUAAUUUUUAGGUUUUAAUAUUGGGCUAUGGUCUCUGCAGGUUUUCAACUUUUUAAUUUGUAUUUGAACCAUUAAUUUGGAGACAAGGUGAGGAUUUCAUAUUAGUGUUGAACUAGAUGUAGAUUUGGUAAUGUUAGUUUAAUUUUGAGUUUACUGCUGCAUUCAUCAUGUUUUGGUUUUUUUUUUCUUUUCCAAUUGAUUUUUUUUUUUCUGAGUUGGUUCUUGUGUCUACAAGUUGCAUCUUGUUUUCAUAUUCGGAUUCCUGAAUGUGCUAUGAUGUCAUUCUUAAGUCUUUUUUUUUUUUUCCUGCCUGUGGCCCCAUUGAUUUAUGAAUAUCAUCUUUGGAAGCUUGUUAUGAUUGAUUUUUUUUCUUCUUCUUGUCAGUAUUCUACUAAAUACGUGUGAAGGUUGCCUCUUUUUUGGGGUUUUAAUGAAAGCUACCUAACAACCAAACAAUAAAAGCCUCUAUUAGUUUUUUUAGUUUCCUUUUAGUCCCUCUAAUUUUUUGCUGACCUUGUGCUUUCUCUUACUGACUGACAAUUGGAUGUUCACUUGGUGUUGUACUGCAGGAAGAGUGUUGUAAUUUUCUAUGAAUUGCUUGAUUUUCAUUCAUCAUGUGUACAUCUACAUAGGAAGCCCUGUUUAUUACCUCCUCUCAUGCUUAGGUCAUCUCCAACUCUUGGACUCAAACCUAAAAUAUCCUCCCAAACUUCUUCUAACCCAAGAAAAGAAAGGACCCAAAAUUUGGAAAAACUCAAAUUUGGACCCAAAUAUAGAUCCAAGUAUUGCCUGGACCCAAUACUAUUCACAGAACCCCACGCUGAGGUGGCAUAGCCCAUGUGCUUUUGAAAAAUGGUGAGACCCACGCUGGUUACAUUUUCUGAUGGGCUUGUCUGUGGCAUGGGCCACGUGUCGGCACUAUAAGCUAGAGCCGUUGGGCUUUGGCUAUUUUUUUUUUUUUAAAAAAAAAAAAAUCAAAUAGUAUCGCUGGGGCCCACAUGCUGGCUGUUUCCAUUAAAAAAAAAGACUUAAACAAUUCUUAAACAAUUUAAAUAAAGUUGCGGACUUAAAAUUUGAGUCCGGAGGGUUGGGAGAAAAAACGAUUUGAGUCCGGGCAAAGCUCAAAUAGUCACUUUUUAAAGGGGAAAAAUUUGGGUUUAGCCCCUCAUGAGUUGGAGAAUGCCUUACUAUCCUAGGAUUGUCUACCCUUCAUGUAUGUGAGUUUUAAAUUUUCAUCAUUAUAUAUGUUAUUAAACAUUAGAGAUUAUUUAAGGCAUCAUCUAUUAUCUGAAUUCUGCUUAGUCUUAGUUCCAUGUGCAUUAAUUAACUCUUUAAUUCAUACAUUUACAUUUUAGCAACUUGAUGUGAUUAUUGUGGCUCAUACCAAAAAGGCAAUCUUAGGCUCAUCAAGGAAAGUCAAGCUUCCAAGUGACUUACUGGAUAUUAACAUUUUUGUAGUGCUGAAUAUUUAUUUGUAUUGGAUGUGAGAUUUCAGUUUGUUGCUUUAUGUAAUUAUUUAGCAAUUUAAUUAUUUCUUUGCACCUUUUGUUUACGAAGCUUUAAUUUUCUUUUUCAGUCAUACUAUUCUUUUUGUACUAUCUGUUUUUUUAUUUAGCUUGGCAUUGUGGUCGAGAUGUGGAUGUGAGUUUUUUUUGCUGAAAAGAAACCCAUUGUGAUUUGAGCUUUUUUUUUUUUUUUUUUUUUUUUUUUUUUUUUUUUACAGACAAGACACCCAAUAUAAUUAAUUUCAGUAUCUUUUUCUUUUUUUUCAUGUUAGGCAUAUUGUUGAUGUUGAAAUUUUUGUGACUCAUUUAAAAAGCAUUAGGUAGAAUUUCUUAAUUGUAAUGACAUUAUGUGCUCUGACAUUGAGUUCAUCUUCAUCGGAAUUGUUGUAUUAUAUUGAAGUUUGAUAUGGUAUUUAGGCGUGUAAUUACCAAAUUGUAAGGGGUUUUUUGCAGUUGGUGUACGUAACUUAGCAUACAAUUGGCAUCCUUUUUGCAUUUUCAUAAUGCUAUUACCAACUGACUAGUCUGUUAUUGCAAUUAGAGUAUGCGACAUUAUAUUUGUUGCCUUGCAUUUUUGUAAUGAAAAUGCAACAGGUACUUCAGUAUGUCAUUUUUGAAUCCAAUUAACAAUUGGUUAGUCCGUUUUUACAAUUAGUGUAUGCAUAUUGUCAUGUUAUUGGUAGCCUUUUCAAUUUGCACAUUGUUAGAAUGCAAAUACAAUGUGUGGUUUGUCAAUGCAAUUGACAAACAGGUAAUGUCAUUUGCAUUCCAGUCAUGCUAUUGAUAAACAAAGCAGUCUCAUUUGCAUUCCAAUCGUGCAAUUGCCAUUAUCUAUGCAUAAUUAAUUGAAAAUAUAAAUACAAUAUGUGAUUUGUUAAUGAAAUUGACAAACAGGUAGUGCCAUUUGCAUUCCAGUCGUGCAAUUGACAAUCAUAGUAGUCCCAUGCUUUAUAUGUUUAUUAUGAAAAUACAAAAGAAAAUUGAACUAUGCAGUUGGACAAGUUUAUUUUUCAAAAUAAACAUUUGAAUUGAUUAAGGGUAAAAUAAAUACAAGUUAAUAGAAAGUAUUAGGUCAUACAAAUCCCACAUAAAUAAAGGUACAAAGCAUUAGAUUUUCACAUAUUAACUUGGGUUAUUCGCAGCAAUAGUUCCUCAAUUAUACCUGUAGUUACAUUUGGGUCACUGAACUCAAUUAUUAGUUGCAGAGGUCACUUAAAUAUGUGUUUUGUUACACCAAUAGUUCUUCCGCCAAGUUCUUUUAAAUUUUCUGUCAAAAAUGAGGGUAAAUUCGGAAAUUCAUCCACAACCCUCCCUAUCCUCCACAACUUCAAAAUUUGUAAAUUUGUAAAUUCGGAAAUUCAAAUUGAAUAUCAACUAAUAAAAAUUCUCACAAAUCUACUAUACAAAACUUCAAAACCCUAACCCACAAACCCCUCUUCCCUCUCAACCUCUAGAUGGUUUGCAAAUUGACGGCGAACUGAGUCUAAGAAAGAUUCCUCUUGUGUCAAACUUAUGGUUCAACCUUCCAUUCUUGUUUGCUCAUUCGAGGAGGUCCAAAGAUUCAUCAUUUCAGCACCUACCUUUUUUCAUUUUUGUUUCAAAAGUCUACAAAUUUUAGCACCCAUGAGUCAGAUUUAAUGGCUCUUGCAAAAGAGUCGGGUUUUAAAUUGGUGUAUUUGAAUUGGAUUUGAAGAUUAUGGAAGACCGAUGUGAUUUAGGAGAAGGGUUCAUCUCGAUACGCAAAUCGGAUUCAAAGGUUGGUUCUUUUUCUUGCGCUUAUUUUUUAGGUUGUUUUAGAUUGUUGGGGACAAGCAUGUGAGUAUUGAAUUGGGACAAUAACGUGACUUGGGUUCUCGUAAGUGGCUUAAAAUGCAAGAUCUUGAAUCUGUUUGCUGGUCUGAAGGUAUUUAUUAUGAAUAUUUGAAAAUAUUCUUGGUGCUGUGCGGCAUCUUUUUAAUUGAAUUUUUUGGUGUCGACAAGGAUUGGGUUGCGGCAAUGGAGGGUUGUGGAGGUAGGGGAGGGUUGUUGAUGAAUUUCCGAAUUUAUCCUCACUUUUGAUAGAAAAUUUAACAAAAUUUGACGGAAUGACUAAUGGUGCAACACACCUAAUUCAAUGACGUCUGCAACUAAUAAUUGAGUUCAGUGACCCAAAUGUAACUACGGGUAUAGUUGAGGGACUAUUACUGCGAAUAACCCUAUUAACUUUUAUUGUUAAGCUCUUUUUUGUUAAGUUAGAUCUCACUUUUAAAUGACGAUGGGAAAUUUGUCUCUUGUUUGGCAAUUUCCAUUAAUAUAUAUUUAUAAAUAAAUAAAAAAAAUUAAAAAAAGAGCAUGUUUUACCAUCAAUUACCCUAUUUGCUUCACUUUUGACUUCGUUUUCCACGUGAUUUCACUUCCCAUUCCUAAUGCUUUUGUAAUCCUAAAGUGAAUAAGUUUUUUUUUGGGUAAAAAAAAUACGAUUUUUGGCCUUUGUAAAUAUGUUGUAAACAUGUAUUUAAAAUAUAUUAAAAUUAAUAAAAUAAAUUUAUAAAGGGAAGGUGAGAUAUUAGAGAAUUAAAUUAGGUUCUUAUCCUUGUAAGGACUCAUAUGCAAUUGACAAACAGUUAGUGGAAAAUUGAAACUGAAUAAUGCAAUUGACAAAUAGUAAGUUCAAAACUGCAAUUGACAAACAGUAAAAUGGAACAUUCGAAAGGUAAAUUGGGUCCUUAUACUUAUAAACACAAAUGUUUACAAUAUUAAGGUCUCGUAUUACUCUAUGUUAAACAGGUGUGUUCCAUAAGAGUAUAAAAUUCAUCCUUAAUAUUGUAAUAUCGUAAUUUACAAAGAUAAAGACAUAUAGUACAAUAUUAAGGUCACUUGGAGCAUUAGGAAAGUAAAUUAGGUCCUUAUACCUGUAUAAGAAUAGGGUAAGAGUGGACCUUGGUGGAAUAAAUUUGGUCUUUGUCAUUGUAAACAAGGGAGUUUACAACAUAUAUGACUUCCGUUAUAUUUAUAUGGACAAAGGGGUUCCAUAAAGUUAUAAAAGAGAUCCUUAAUCUUGUAAUAUCGUAAUUUACAAAACUCGUAAUGACCCCCAAUACAAUGUUAAGGUAAGAAUGAACCUUGGAGUAGUAAGUUAAGUCAUUAUCCUUGUAAACAAAGUGGUGGUUACAACAUUAAGGAUUCGUAUUAUACUAAAAUGGACAUAGUCGUUCCAUUACAUUGUAAAAGCCAUCCUUAAUCUCGUAAUACCAUAAUUUACAACAAUAAGGAACCCUUGUAUAAGAAUAGAGUAAGAGCGGACCUUGGUGGAAUAAAUUUGGUGCUUAUUCUUGUAAACACAAGGGUUUACAGUAUUAAGGACCUCUUUUACAAUGUUUUGGACCUUCAUGUUCCAUAAACUUGUAAAGUGUAUCCAUAAACUUGUAAUAUCAUAAAUUACAAUAGAAAGGAUCUCUAUUACAUGGUUAAGGUAAUUAUGGACCUUAGAGAUGUAAAAUUGGUACUUAUUUGUGUAAAUGCAAUGGUUUAUAACAUUAAGGAAUCGUAUUACAAUGCUUUGGACAUAAGCUCUCCAUAAACUUGAAACGUAGAUUCUUAAUCUCGUACAUUACAAGAUUUGGGUUCUCAUUUAUGAUUUUUUACAUCAUGAUUACAAUUUUGAGGUUCUUCCUUAUCCCUACCGUUGUAAUAUCCUGAUUUACAAUUGAAAGGAUCCCUCUUACAAUGAUAAGGUAAGGAUAGACUUUGGAGAAGUAAAGGUGGUCCUUACUCUUGUAAACACAAGGGUUUACAAUAAUAAGGACCCCUUUUACAAUGUUUUGGACCUCGACAUUCCAUAAACUUGUAAUGGGGAUCCUUCCUAUUAUAAAUUAGGGUGUUAUGAGAUUAUGAAAUAUGAAGAACCUUAAACUUGUAAUUAGAUUGCAAAAACUAAUAAAUGGGAACCCAAAUAUUGUAAUCUAUGAGAUUACGGAUCCACUUUACAAGUUUAAAGAACUCUUGCGUCCAAAGCAUUGUAAUACAAAUCCUUAAUGUUGUAAAUCAUUGUUUACUAGAAUAAGGACCCAUUUUACAUCUCUACGGUUCAUCAUUACCAAUUCCUUGUAAUAUGGAUCCAUAUCCUUGCAAAAGGCUGAUUUUUUACAACAUUAUGGAUUCGGUGAACCCUAACGUUGUAAUCUAAGAGCAAAAUUUUGUAAAUUGUUACCCAAACUUGUAAGUUAUGAGUUUAAGGAAUUGGUAAUGGUAACUCAAUCACUUUCUUCUCCUUCAUUGCGUAUUUUGUUAUGUUACAUACUUAUAUAAAAUUUUGAAUAUUUUAGUUAAAAUUGUACAUAUUAUGUGUAAAUAUCAUAUUUAUGUAUUCUAUAUUGAUUAUAAAGUGCAAUAUAUAUUAUUUAAGUAUUAUAUUAUUAUAUAUUCUUAUUUAACAUUUUUUUUAUCAGAACAUGAACCAAUUAUAUUACGAAGAUAUGAAUAAAAAAAGGGAGACGGAUAAGUAAGAAUAAGCAAGAAUACAUAUAUUUUUAUAUAUAAUAAUAUGUCAUCUUGAGAAGUAAUUAUAGUGUGGCUUCAGAGUAUGUCAUAUAAUAUUUAUUAUAAUAUAAGUGGAUAUUUAUUGAUAUUAUGUCUUAAAAGUUGAAUAUCUAAAUACGUAAAUGAGUUAUACUAUGUAGUCGUAUUUUUGUUCCUUAUAGUAAUUUAUUCACAUUUAAGAAAUAACAAAACAAAAAGAAUAGUUUAGAUGUUCAAAAAUUGUAUUUGGUUUCAAGUAAAAAAAAAAAAUUCAGUUUGGCCAAUUGGAUUUAUAUAAAGUUACCCAAGUUUUAUUGAUUUUGGUUACAAGUUAUAUAAAGCAACCCCUAACUCAUGAAUCAUGAAAAAAUCUGCAAAUGUUGUGAAAUAAUUGAUAUAAUUAUAACAAACAUUAUAGUCCACCCUAAUCCAUAACACUGUAAUACUCUAAUUUACAAAGAAAAUGAUAUAUAGUACCAAGGUAAGAAUGGACUUUGGACGAGUAAAAUUAUGUCAUUAUCCUUGUAAACACAACUGAAAAUCUUGUUAUCUAUGAGAAAACUUGUAAACUUUCUACUUUUAUACUUGUUUUUCUUGAUUUUAAUCCUAACAAUGUAAUAUAAAAUACAUGGUCAUGUUAGGAAAAGAAUAUAAAUUUAUAAUACUUCGUGGAUGUCUACAAAAGUACAAAUAUGUAACAUAGAGUUCAACAAGUAAUAUAGUUCUUAUUUUAGAAAUUGAUUUCAACCAAUUACAUAGACAGAACUCGAGGUGAAAAAAUUUGAUGGAUAAAGACUUUCAAGCUCUCAAAUAAAUAUUGAUGCGCAUUCACCAAUUCUAUGAAACAAAAGUAACAAAAAAUUAAAACUAUCAACCUCAAUUGAUGUUUAAAAACUAGGCAUAAAAUACAGAGGAAUUAACCACAACUAGCCAUCAUAAUUCAUAUAAAUAAAACCAGCAACUCAUAAUGAACUUGAGUAAAGCUACAAUGAGGUGACAUAUCGAAAUCAGAAGAAAAAAAAAAGUCAAACAAUUCUCAUUUAAAAAAAGUCUAAAACGGUAGCUUUAGAUUUAUAAAAGCAAACAAAUAUCAUUGUGAAAUUUAUAAGCAUGUCAUCAUGAGUCAAAAAGAAUAAACUCAAUUGAAAAAUAACAUGUCCAAUCAUAUGCCAAUUGCCAGACAGAAAGGGCAAAAUUGCAUGACCCUAAUGCAAUUGCAUUUUCAAAAAGUAGAAACUUGAUAACUUGUAUAACCGGUAACCAAUUUUUUUAAAAAUCUGGAAGAAUCAUAUAGGAAAAAUGGUGCAUGGGUGCACCUGGUGCACUAUAGAAGGUGCCUACUUCACAUGCCCAAACUACUCAUCCAACGAUCAUAAGAAGUGGCGCAUCCAUGCGCCAAGUGCACUGUAGAAUUUUCCCUAUAAAUAAGUCUUGUCUGGUUUUGUCCAAAAUUCAAUCUUUUAGAUUUCUUUUGAAUAUUUUAUCAUUCUCCGCAGGGGCGGAGCCACACUAGGACCAGUGUGGUUCCCGUCCCCCCCUCAAGUUUUUUAAUUUUUAAAAAGUAAUAUACUGUUAUGUAUUUCUACAUGUAUAUUAUUUCAAAUACUUUACACUUUGAUAUGUAUCCUUGUGGUGGACCUAUUAAGGCACAAGGAGGUGCUUCAAAUUGCCCCUUUGCUCAGCUGGUGGUGGUGCACUACAGGUGUACAGAUUACCUUAUUUCCAUUUUCAAUAUUUAAGUAAAUGUCUUUGUCCUUUUACUUUCAUUUAUUUUUAUAUUACUUCAUUUACUUAAGUUUACAAUGUAAAUAAGGAAGUACCCCCUAUUUGGAUUCAAAUAAAUAUACUAGAAAAUCAAAUUCCCACCAAAUCAAAAUAUGAAAAAUCGGUUUUAGUGCAAAAUACGAUUUAGGCUAAAAAUGAUGGCUCAUUUAGUCAAUAUAUAUUUCAUACUAAAAUCUCAUAAAAUCAAGUUUUCUUAUUUGAUGUGUAAGGAAUAAAAGCCGCCAAAAAUUAUAUUGAGAAAAUGAUUAUUUCGAAAAACCAUUUUUCAUACUUAUUCAAUAUUUUUACAUAAAACAUUUUUUCAUGUAUGAUAUGAAUGCAUGAAGGGACCUAAAGUUUUUUUUUAGUUUGUGAAAUUUUGAUUUUUUUUCUUUCUAUUGGGUUUAAUGGGGGAAAAAGCUUUAAAAAUAUUUGCUAAAUUGCUACUCUUUGUCUAUCUCUUACAAUUUUUCUUGCUUAGAAUGUGUUUGUCUAUCGACAAUUAUGAUUGCAACCAAUAAGCAAUAUAAUUCUUGAGAUAUGUGAUAUAUAUCUAUAUAUAUACUAUUUUUCGUAUGUAUUGUGAGUUUGAAUUUUUUAUUCUUUAUCAUUUGUAAGAGGCCCCCACACACAUAAAAUCCUGACUUCGCCACUAAUUCUCCACAUGCCUUUUGCUAUAUCAGUCCCGAUCUCUUGGACCACAGGAGUCCAAGAGAUUGUGGUCACCCACCGUUGGAUAUUAAUUCAAUGGUUGAAAAAAGUUUUUUAAAAUGAGUGCAAGAGUGAGUGAACCGUUGAAUUUACAUCCAACGGUGAGUGACCACAAAUUUCUUGGACCCCUGUAAUCCAAGAAAUCAGAACUGUUUGCUAUAUAUAUAUAUAUAUAUAUANNNNNNNNNNNNNNNNNNNNNNNNNNNNNNNNNNNNNNNNNNNNNNNNNNNNNNNNNNNNNNNNNNNNNNNNNNNNNNNNNNNNNNNNNNNNNNNNNNNNUUUUUCAUAUCACAGUCAUGGUUGAAUAACAAAUAACCAUGUCCUUACCAUAUAUAUAUAUAUAUAUACAGUCCCGAUCUCUUGGACCACAGGAGUCCAAGAGAUUUGUGGUCACUCACCGUUGGAUGUAAAUUCAACGGUUCACUCAAUCUUGAACUCCUUUUAAGAAACUUUUUUGAACCAUUAGAUUAAUAUCCAACAGUGAGUGACCACAAUCUCUUGGACUCAUGUGAUCCAAGAGAUCGGGACUGUAUAUAUAUAUAUAUAUAUAGUAAGGACAUGGUUAUUUGUUAUUCAACCAUGACUGUGAUAUGAACACGUGAAUUAUUGAGAGCGUAUAGCAUUAGCAUUACGCUUGAUAUUGUUAGAAACCAAGGCCGCUAUCACUAAAUUGAGAGAGUUAGGCCACAGAGCCCAUCAAACCAAACCAACUACAUAUUUCUUUCCCAGAAGUAAGCAAAUUUGACGGUCAGAUGAGCCCCUUAUUUUGACUUUGAUGAUAACAAAAAGGGUCAUCUCCUCCAACCACACCCACUCUUAACACUCUCACUGCAACUCUCUGUUCUCAAUGACUAUUGCUUGUAUUCAAUCUCUUUGUAAAGCCCCCACCUUUCUUCUCCCUUCAACUUUUCUGGGUUCCUCUUAUUUCUUGCAGAGUCCACAAGCAAACCCAUUUUCAAGAAACAGAGACUCCAAGUAUUACAUAGACAGAACGAUUGACAAUAAAAAAACAAGAGGUGGGAUUGUCUGUGGGGUGCUUUUCCCAGUUGAUCCAUGGGCACCCAGCAUUGAUUCACAGAGCAUAGCUUCACAGCUCUUUGCAGCCUCCUUGUUUCCCUACCUUGGUUUCUUGUACUUCAUCACCAAAUCAAAGUCUGCCCCAAAGCUCACCCUUUUUGGGUUCUACUUCUUGCUAGCUUUUGUGGGGGCCACCAGUGAGUUUUUCCAUUUCUUUUCAUUCUAUUACCUUUCUACUUUUUUAUGCUCUCUUCUCUUGGGUUUUGGGUAUCCCUUUAGAUUGCCUUAAUUUAGCAUUGUUAAGCUCUUCAAGUGGUUGCAAAUUGAUAUGUAAACCACAGACUCCUUCUACAUUACAUUCUAUUAAUUUAUUACAUAUGGCCAACACAUGGGGCAUAAAAGGAAGAUGGAAGUGGACCUAGUCAAGGACCUGAACUUAUGCAUGUCUUAUGCUUUUGUACCAUUUGUCGACAGUGAUUAUUGUUUUAUCAUAUUUCUUUUCUUUGGGCGGCUGGAAGAUUUGUUUAUAUAGCUUUGUGAUAGGCUUCUAGUGUGUUUGAAAUCCAAAAGACAAUGCUUGUUGUGGGUCUGUCAUAGUUCAAUUCAAUGGCCCCUGCAAAUAUUCACUCUAGUUUUGUAAAAAUGUUACAUGAUUGUUUUGUUUCUUAUUGAAAUUGGGUUGGUAUUGUAAAUUGUUUACUGUCAACUGCUGUGUUUGAACUCUAUUAACAUCCUUAUUUUUGUUCGUUGCUUUCCUCUCGUCUACUGAGCAGUCCCUGCUGGAAUUUAUGGUAAGUUUUCACUGUUUGAGAAUGUUGUACACUUCAUAUCAGUUCAUGAACUGAUGCCUUAUGGUACUCUGGUUAUUUGGCUGAACAGCAAAGGUGAAAUAUGGCACUUCAUUGGCGAAUGUCGAUUGGUUACAUGGUGAGGCUGAGGCACUUCUCACUCUAACCAACAUAUUCAUUGUGUUGGGGUUGAGAAGAGCCCUCAGAAAAGCUGAAGAUGCAAAAGCAAGAACAUCAACUCCUAUAUCAGGGUUGAAGGAGGAGAAGAAAACUUCUGUUUAGGUGCAGCAGACAGAUUUUGCUCUGGGUUCUUUCUUAACGCGUUUUAUUUCCAUGUUAGAUUUGAAGUCUUUAACUCUUUUUCUUCUGCUUUGUUACAAACCACUAUUGCCUAUGCCUAAUAUCUCUGCAGUCAUGUUUUCCCCUGUUCCCUUGAGAAGCCAUAGUCUCUCAUUUACUGUAUGUAAAGUCGCAACAUUUCUGUUGUUUUUUUAGCUGAGUCUUGAAAUGUUGGGUAAUUGUCCAAUCUAGAAUCGUAUAUACUGUUUAUAUUCCUUUUUUAUAUCUCUGUGUUUCUGUUAUGUGUUAUUUAAACAAGAACAUGACCUCCCGGUUCGAGUCUAUAAGUUUGUUUAUUUAUUGAGAGCAAUGUUGUAGGAUCUUCACUUAUCCUAUUUGGUUAUAAGAUGUGUUUGUAUGGAACUUCUGCUUUAUUCUGAACAAAUAUGGGCUUCAAUUGGAGUUAAAAGGAAAAAAUAUUAUUUGAAAACUAUAAUAUAAUCAAUUCUAUCCGUCGGCUAACAUCAGAAAAAGCUCUUAUCUUUUACUAGCAUUCCUCCUAUCUUAUAAUACAUGGUUGAUUCAAGGUGUGAAACAAGCUAGUAGCAACCUGGAUGCUACUUAUUCUUUUUCUCAAACUCAAGUAGAAUUAUGAGAAAAUUCCUGUGGUGUCAAAUGGGAAAUUGGGCUCAAUUUCCACUGGCUCCAGUGGAAAAUCCAUCUCUGGAAUUGGAGAAUUGGUUGACGAAUUGUUGGCUGAGAUGAUCUCAGUAAGACCACAUUCUGAAAGUUGCUCGUUUCCUGCAAUGUUUCUCAUCUGGCUUGGUGGCAUCAAAUAGUAGUUUGAUUCGCCUGCGGCUGGAGAUAGCAAUGAAUGAUUGAAGUUGUCAAAGAAAGUGUUGUUAUCAUCAAGCAUUGAAGAUAGAAAGGCAUCAUCAGGCAUCAUACAUCCAAAUGAAGUUGAAGUGAAAGAGAAUGGAGAUGCCAUGUUCUCUCUGUCUUCCAAGAACUUGGUAUCAACUCUCAGAUUAGUCGGAAAGCUCAUUUGGAUUCCUUGAGACUGCUGUUGGUGAGAAGUAUUAUUUUGCUUGUUUCGUUUUUGUUCUUGCUGUUCUGGUGAUGGUGGUGGUAGAACUGAAUUGCUACCAUGAGAACAUGUAUGCUUUCCUUUGUAUGUGAUUUCGAAUAUCGUGGGGUCUUCAUCUGAUCUUUGCACUUGCUUUGUAGCAUAACAGCUUUGCGUGUUUCGGUAGGUGCAUCUGUAAUAGCUUCUGCAAAUUUAAACAAAAUUGGUCAUCAGAAUGUUCAUAACAAAGUGAUAUUUCUAUGAUGCAGAAGACUGCUAUAUUUCCCGUUUGUGGGUCAACCUCAAAAGACAAAGCUUUGUGCGCGUGCGUGUAAAAGGUAAAGUAUUAUAUGUUGCUUUUUGAAAUGUGGCAUCGGUGACUGUUACUGCAAAUGAUUGCAUGGUUGAAUGGAUUCGCUUAUAGGAUUUUACAACAGGAUAAGAUUAAGUAAAAAGGCACUUUAGUUACCUUGGAUGUUUGGCUCCAAGGAUGUCCUUCUGUCCAUAUUUUCUCCAGCUAUGGCCAUCUUCAUGAGGUCCUUCAAUCCCAUUCUCAGAGCUAACUCUCAUUACAUGGUCUGUCCAUUUGGCCAUGAUCUUUCUGCAAUAUGCAAAAUCAAAUUAGCAUUUGAUUUCUUGGCAUCAUAUUCUCUACAUUUAUGACUUAAUGAAUAGUAUAAGCUCACCUCUUCUUGGAGACAUCUGUGAGGUCCUGAUGAUCCUUGGGACUCUUGUUAUAGUCAUCAAAACAAGGACCUGCGUAAGCCGACACAAGAGACUCCGGCACACUGGCUAUUGCACCCGCAGUACUUUGAGCCGGCCCACUGAAGUUCAGUAUCAAAAGGGCUUUCUCAUAGGAGGACAAUAUCCUCUGCACUAAAAAUUGUCUGGUGUCUGAUGAAGAUGCUGCACUUAGACUUAGCCUCAACUGUUUUGCUAGUUCCAUCCCUUCAAUGAUCUCAGUUAGCAGUGACUUGUGCUCCCAGCUCUUACUAGAAUCCAUUUCUUCAAUUCUAUGUAUCUAUUUCUAUAUCGCAAUUGGAACUGUGAGCAAUAUAAGAUGCAGAGCUUUAGUGCUACUUCACGUCCGACAGAAGAACAUGCAUUGCCUGCAUCAGCACACCUUCACCACAUUGGCUAUGUAUGAUUGGUUAUCAAGGAGCAAAAUCCUCCCACUUAAAUCCCAGAAAGAGUAGAAGCGAACGGGAUUUGGAAGUUCCAAUUUGUUUCAAGUAAGAAGCUGUACACAUGGAAUUAGUAUCCAGAAUUUUGAAGAUUCUCUAAAUUGUGUGUGCAGAAAGAGAAGAAAGUAGAGUAGUGAAGCUGCGUAAGCCAAGAGAGUGAGAGACUUGGAUUUAAAGGAGAAAGUGGAGAUGCUAUAUAUAUACAUGUAGAGGUGACCAAUUUGAAUGGAGAAGAAAAUUAAGUGGAGAUUGGGGAGUAGAAAGUUGAAGUUUGACUGAGAAACCGAGUUAUUCAGCUCUGACUGGUCUUUGGUCAUGCAUAUAGAAAAAAAAAAAUCUACGCUGACCAUUUCCACAUCUUCUAAUUCUCUGAAUCUUUAACUUGUAAAAAGGGUCCCUCUCUCUCUCUCUCUCACAGAUGGCAACAGGGGCGGAUUGAGGCCGAAUAUGUCAUUACCAUCUCAGGGACCCAGAUAAAUGGGUUUGAUAAUUAUUUUAUUUAAGUUUUUUCCUUAAUAAAAUUAUUAAAAAUUAUAAUUUAGUACGUCUGUCUGUCGGGGGAAAAUUGUCGUCCCUACCCUCUCUCUGAUUUGUAGUUGGUGGGAUUUUUUUAUAUAUUUUUAUUUUGGAUUGCAUGAUUGAGAUUUAGAAAGGUGCUUACUAGGAAUUUUCGAACCAUAUUCCGCGUUAUUAUUUGGUAAAAUGUCGUCGCUCCCACUUCUCCCAGUAGUAGAGUAGAGUAUUGAAAUUGAAUCAAAGAGUGCAUGACGUGGCCCACAUAGUUAGAUUCCUUUUUUUUUUUUUUUUUUUUUUUGUUGCUUGGUUAUCUAGAACAUCGUCUUUCAUAUUAGAUGUCUUCUCUGCAGCCGCGUUUUUGUGGAAGAAAAAACAGAAGUGAAAAACUAUUUGGUAUUUGUUUAAUAAUUAAUUGGUCAAAAGGUCUUGAAGAACUUGGACAAUCUUACGGCCUCAAUCUGAAUUUGGAUCCCUUUGACGGGGUUAUUGGCCAUGAUUCUUAUGGUCGUUGUAUCCUUUGUUUACUAUACCUAAAAACUACGUAUUACAUAGACACUUGCGUAUCAAAAAUUAGAAAUGCAUUAUAAAUAGGGUGAAUUCAAUACAUCGCGCUAAGAUGUCAUGCGAUAUAUCAAAUAUAUGUGGUCGGUUUUGAGAUGUGACAAUAUAUCAGCUUCAAAAUGAUUAUAUACAAGUUUCAAAUAAAAUUAUUUCAAUGAUUCGUCAAUAGAAUAAGACUAUAUAUAUAUAAUGGUAAUUUAAUUACAAUGUCCAUGAUAUUCGUUUGUUGCUUGGAAUGCCUGGUGCAACUGACCCAAAUUCAUCAGUUUUGUUAGUUGGCUUGAUGAUAAGUUAUCAUCAUUACUCCAUUUGACUUCUUGGUUUUUCUAAUUUAAUUUCGUCAACUUUAAAACAAGCGCGUGUAUUCAUUUGAGUCGAACAUUUAUUAUAAAUAUACGGUAAUACUAAAAAUAUUAGAAUCCAGAUUUGCGAAUCUCUUGUUGGAAGUUUUGUCAAGUUGAGUGGAAAAAAUCGAUUGAUUAUUAUUUCAACUUAAACAGGCAAUUGCAAGUUGUUUGUGUGUGGGUACAAAAAUUUAACAAUUGAAAUUGACGUCCAAGCUACCUCUAUGUCGGGGAGAUAUAUAUAGUCCCAUUUCAUCGGGGAAUUCCAUAAAUAAUUUUAUUUGAAUUAUACUCUUAGGGUAUCCUAUGAAUUUUUUUCCAACAAUCCAAAUCAUCAAUUUUUUUAAGUCUACAUUCAUAGAUCAUUCUUGCAAAAAAUUAGACAAAUCAGAAACCAUUUCGAUAUCCAAUUGUAUCCUACAAAAUCAAUUAACACAGUGCUUCAAGAAAGUACUAAAAUUUUAAUAACACAAUUGAGUGGUCAAACAAAAUUGAAUUCCAAUGAUUUUUAAUAGGGAUGAUCUUUGAAUGAUUAUCUAAAACAUAGACUGUUUAAAUUAGUGAAAUACAAUGCGAAGUGAGCCUUACAAAUGUGUCAUUCAAAUAAGCUAAUUUGAGGGAUCUCUCGAUGGAAGCUUUACAUAUACAUCACAUAUUGUAUAACCCAAGCUAACCUAUGAGAGACUGAGUCGUCCCAGAUCCCCAUCCGGCGAAAGCCACAUGGGAUUUAGUCCCAGCUGGACCAAUGACAGCUACGUUAGCCUCCACACAAUCCAUACACUACGAUUAUAUAUAUAUAUAUAUAUAUAUAUAUAUAUAUAUACGACAUGUUGCUUUGUUUGAGUUCUGUCGUAGGCUUUUCUCAAAAACAUAUACUAUAUUUUUGUGGCAAUGAUCGUACCUUUAUAGGCUUUUUCCAACUUCACUUUCAUAGGUAAGUGUUUUUUUUUUUUCUUUCUUAAAAGACCUUUUUUAUUGAGAAAGACGAUAAUAUAUUAAAGAGAUAUUUAGUGAUAUACUUAUUCUUAGCACUAAUAUUAUAGAUAAAUCUUACACCAUUGAAUUUUUAUAAACAAGCUUAAAAAAAAAAAUCAAAAAUUGACAGCUGGCCUUAUUGAAUUUAAUAUUUAUUAUUAAAUUACUUUGAUGUCAUAUUGAGUGUUUUGGGUAUUUUUAUGAGAUUUUGGGGUUGGACUUAUUUUAAGAAAUUGAUGACAGUUUUGUAAUUUAUUAGAAGUUAAAAACCUCUUUGUUAUGUUGUAAAUGAGUUUUGAAUGUGUUUUGGGUAUAAUAGUAAAUCUCCCUAUAUUAAACUCACACACUAUACAAACUCAAACCCAGAACAUUUCUUACUAGUGAAUCCUUUGCAAGGUAGGUUAGAUUUAGUUUUAUAUUGAAAUCAUGUAUUUGUUAACCAAUUGAAAUAUACUCAAUGGUGCAUACGUGUCGCGACACAUAGCUAUUAUCAGACCAAAAAGUGGCUUUGCCCUCUACGAACUCAGUUAUAAUAAAAAGCUGUGAACCUAUAAAGAUGUGCUCAAGAUAUUUGAUCCAAAUGAUGUUUUUUUAUAAUCAAAAUACAUGACAAACCGCUUUAGCAUUUCUCUAUAUUAAAUAUUAUAUUGUACGAGGACGGAGGAAAGUAUAGGAGCAUCACUUUGACGUGAACAUUUACGAUUAAAAAUUAGUUUGGAACUUAUUCAGUGGCUGAGGUGGAUAAAGAAAAGCCAUAACAAAUUUUUUUUUUUCCUGCUCAAGGAAUAAAUAAAGGUUUGCAUAUAUAUGAUAUUUUCAAUUUUGCACGUCAUAAUGUAAAAGCAGAUUCCAAGAUUGAUAAAUAUGUAAAAACAAAAGAAAAAAGGAACCCCACUGACCACUUGAUCGCCUAUAUAAGAGAUCUAACCAAACAGCCUUCCACCACCAAGAGAGCUCAAGAACACUUAGCUACUAAAAAACCAAAACCCUUUUUCAAUCUCCUUUGUGAGUUAACUAAAAUGGCCUCAACGCAACGCCACAACAAGCCAGCAGCCAAGGAGGGCUCAUUGGGCCAUAAGGUUUCUGAGAUUGCUGGCUUUCUGAAAGGAGGUCACCAUGGAGAACACAACAGCAGCAGCAGCCACACUACUAGCACCCAAUAUGUCUUAGCCACCCCAGCAACUAAUGGGCAGCAUGGGCUGAACCAGCACCAUGCAACUGGAACCAAGAAGAGGGGUGAGCGCAAGAACAACAAGACAGGUGGCAGCCGAAAUCUCCUUCAGAAGAUCAAGGAUGGAAUUUCUGGCCAUAGCAGCAGCAGCAGCAGCAGCAGCAGCGACAGUGAAAAUGAAGGCUACCAAAAGAAGGCAAGUGAUUUAAGUGUAUAUCAAUAACAUAUGGAAAUAAUGCAAAACUAACUAUCUAACUGUGGGUUUAAAGAUGUUUAUAUUGUCAGACAGUGAAUAUCUUAGAUAUUCGUGGAUGUUCUUGAUGCCUGUUAAUGAUGUGUUUAUAAUGUACAUUUGUGUGGAUUUUGCAGAACUAAAUGGAACAGAUGUGGGAGAUCAGCAUCAACUAAAUAUCAGGGACAGGGGAAGGAAGAUGUGCCUCAUCAUCACUAUAUAUGAUAACUCAAGUACAAGUAUAUACCAAGUGUAAAAUACAAUAAUGGCCUUCCUGGCUUCUGAUCUCUCACCACUUGGUUAUCUAUAUAUGAUACAAGUGAAAAUAUAUAUAUGUAUAUGUCUCUGUCUCUGGCUCUCAAAAUAAAGUUAUUUUCGUGCGAUAUAUAAUAUAUUAAUGCUUCAUCCAAUAAACAUUCCCGAAAUUGAUGUGGCUCGGUGGAAAACAACACGAGAACGAAUGACAGAAGAAUGUAUGCACUCCAAACAUAUCGUCUUUGCAAUAAUAUACGCCAUGUCAUGUGAUAGAUUUUUGCCAUUAAUAACUUGAAACAAAUGAAAUGUUUGGAUCAAUCACAAGUUACCGACAUCAUGCAGGCACAUGGCAGUCAUUGAUUGGUGUAGGUCCCCAAGGUAGCUAGGUUUCUCACCAAAUCAGGCCAUUCGAAGAGGAAGUCACAUCUCAUCACAAUGAAGUUAAGGGUGGAUGGUGAGAAUAAUAAUUAAGUUACAUAUACUGAAUUUAUAAUACCUUGGAAAUUCAUGGUACUUUAACGAUUAUGGAUUAAAUAUCGAUAAUGUAUCAAGCACUGUAACGUACAUGAGUAGUCAUGUUGUUUUAUAAGAGCUAAAAAACUAUCUUACAAAACAUUCCGCUCUAGCUCACUGCUUUUGAGCACCAAGCAACCACAACAAAGCUUAAGAAAAACUAGAUGCAAGUAAUUGAGAAAGUAAUUGUUGGGUUAAACUCCAAUGGCAGAAACUUUUCAUGCGAGUACUUUUCGUAACGGAUAGGUCAAAAUUCAACAGCAGAUACAAAAUAAGCUAAAUAAAUCAGAUGAUGAAAGUAUAUAUAAGAGAGAGAGAGAGAGAGAGAGAGAGAGAGAGAGAGAGAGAGAGAGAGAGAGAGAGAGAGAGAAGGAUGAAGAGAGAAUUCAAUAUUUUUUGAAAAGGAAAUAUGAGAUGGCAUCAUGAAAUCUUAAUUCUUGAUGUAUAAAUCACGUUGUGAUAACUUAUAUGUCCUAAUUGGAGCUUGUAGCUCAAGUAGUUGAUAAUGUCUAUUUCAAAACAAGGUCAAAGUUCGAAUCAUGCCUCAUUUAUUCUUCCUGUAAUUUUUUUAUUUAUACAAGCAAUAGUCUAAACUAUAAGGUGGAGCAAGGGCGGAGCUAGGAUUUUAUAUUUGAGGGGGCCAAAAUGUUAAACACAAAAAGUUUAGUUUCAUAUUUUUUUUUGCCUAUUGAGUAAACUAUUGCUUACAAAAGCACUAAAUUGAAAUGAUUGGUUUUCUUUCAUAAAUGUAGUAUGAUUUUACUACUAUAUUCAUAUUAAAAUACAAUUUUGACAAGUAUUGAUUUGUGGUGAGGGGGCCAUAGGCUUAAGUAUAGCAAUUUUUCUUUGCAUUUGUUACCACAUCCAAUAUAUACAUUCAAAAGGGUUAAAUAAAUUGGAGGGGCCAGGGCCAUCCCAGGCCUUAGUACAGCUCCGCCCCUGGGUGGAGGGGAGUUUCACACACACACACUACUAAGGUGCUAUAGGGAUUCGAACUAGAGACCACUGAUCUGCAGCUCAAGGCCCUCUUCUACUAGACUAGACCCCAAUAGCAUCCUCCUUGUUAUUUUUUUUAUAAAAAAGAAAAGAAAAACUGAGAUGCCCUUGUUAUGAAAAAUGACCCAAAAAAGAAGUUAAUAAUUAGAUAAACGAAUCUCCAUGGUGGAAAAAAGAAAACAAGAAGAAAAAAAAUGGAGACAAGUAAAGCCGAAUCUAAUUUAUCUUGUCCCUUGUAUUGAUGUAUCGAAGGACUGUACAUCCGGGAAUUUCAAAAGAGGGUAUGGGACCAUCGGUAACGUGUUGCAUUUUCACUCUGAUCAAAUUCCAAUCUCCACUUAUUCCUUUUCCUUUUGUUUUUGGAAAUAAAAUAUACGCGUUUUCUUUUCUACAUGAUCCAUUUGUCACACAAAUAUCAUUAUUUUUGGUUAAAACUAUGCUACCGGCAAUUGCGCAUAGAAAGAUGGUGCAGAAGUAGUAAAGCUAAUAACUCUUCAGCAAAUAAUAGACAGAUAAACCAAUAGCAUAAUGAAGUUGCAGAUUGAUAGUACAAAAACAGCAUGAGCAGUUCACAUCACAAAACACAGCAAGCAGUUUAUGGCACAAAAACAGCAUGAGAACAGAAUCCAUAGACAACAUGAUACAACCCUUGAUUUACAUGGAAACUUUUCUUUGCAAUAUAAAGUGUCACCUUUCUCCAAGAGACCCUGACAAAAAGGAUGCUAGGGCCUGAAGAGCAAGAUCUUCAGCUUCGUCUUGCGUUAACCCAGUGGUUUGCAGAUGCUUCUUUCCAAUCUUGAAGGAGUGGUCACCACCAUCAAUCACAUGCAAACCACUAGGGCAUUUCAUCUUCUUGCGUGUAACUUCUAGCUUUUCCAAUGGACAGAGCGCAUCUUUACUACCCUUCAUGAAACAUAAUUGUAGCAAACAACAAGACACUUGUUAGAGAUAGAAAACUUAAGAAAGGCAUUGUUAUCUAACUGUAAAAGGAACUUUCAUUCAGCAAGGAUAAUAUAUAGAAAGAAAAUGAAAAUCUCAGUUUGGUCAUUCUAUAAGAAUUGGUACGAGAGAGCUGAAGAAUUAUAAAUCCAAAACAUUAAACCAAAUAUUUUAUAUUGAAUCUAUACAGUGCAGUAGUUUGCAAUUGAUGACCAGGAGGCACUACGAAAAAUAAAAAGAAAACUUGAUUCUAGAGAAAAAGAAAUACCUGUACUAGCAUUAUGGGAACAGAAAGUUGCAAAAGUAUUUCAUCUCGCACUGCUCCAUUAAUUCCCUGAAAUUUAAGAUACCCAGAUCAGACACAAUCGGUGGCAUAUUUAUGUAGUUCGGAGAAGUGCAAAGGGGAAAGGGAACACUUGUAGGUCACAACAUCAAUUGCUAAGGUUCCAAUGAAUGCAGAAUUUCUUCUUCAAAGAAUACAGAUAAUUUUGUCUCAACUAUUUUCACCUUCUAGUUUGUGUUAUUGAAGAUUUACUGCACGAUGAUUUCAUGCCAAUAACCCAAAAGAAAGAAGGAAAAAACAAAAGCAACAACAAAAUAAAGUACAUAAUGUGCACAAAUGAGAUGUGGGGAUAACAGCAGAACUCAGACCUUUAGCGGGUAUCCUAAGCAAAGUAUUGCUGAAGCACGAAUGCCUUCCUUGCAAGCUACCAUACAGCUGACCCUAAAGACAAAUGAAAUCCAAAAAUCAUAAAAAGAAAGCACAAAUGAUAAGUAGCAAAGAAAUUCAUUAUCAUUAACAUGUUAGAGUACUAAAAUGAAAUUCAAAUUUAAACAUAAACAAGGGAAACACAGCAGAGCUUCAUGAAUUGUCCAUAUUUCUAGAGUUGAGCACUGCAGCCAAUAUAAGAUGCAUACACUACACAACUGUUCACCCAAAAUAAAGCUCUGCAGAGAUCAAUAUACAUCUUUCAAAAGGGUAUCUCCAGCAUUACUUGAUUGCAUAGAGACUACCUUCUACUAAUAGAAUUUUAGGCUACAUCAAGUAAUCUUCAGUAGAAAGUAGAAGGAUUAUAACCUUGAACCCAUAGAUUUCCCGGCCAAAAUCAACGGAUGACCCGGGUAUUUAGCAACAGCCUUUCCGACAACAUCGGCGUGAAAGUCGACCAACUUUUCAGCCUUCGGAGGGGCCCUCCUUUUCCCACCCGAAAUGUCUGCCAAGCAUCAAACUUUAAGAUUAUACAAAAGAGAUAACAAACUCCAUGUAUAACCCAAAGCACCAUAUGUACCCAGUAAACCGAGAUUUUAGCAAAAUACAAAUGAACUUACAUGGGUAAUCAAAGGUAACAACUUCAACAGCAUGUAGUGCUUUUCCCAACAUAUCCUUCCACCUAAAUAAAACUCAAAGCUUCAAGCUUUUUACUUCAACAUUUCUUUUCCACUAUUUCAAAAAAGAAAGAGAAGAGAGACCUGAUCAUCCAGUCAGAAGAAGAGGGAGCACCAGCACCAUGAGCAAAGACCACCACAGGGGAUAAUUUCUCCAGUGUGGAUGAAGAUGUUGCUGACAUGUCGUUUGCAUCGUCUUUGCUCUGGUCCUUACGCCUGCGUUUUGAAGGGGGUGAUGAAGCCAUUCCCAGUCAAAGAACCCUUUGAAAUGAUUCCCAAUUUUCAACCUGAUCGAAACCCUAGAUAUCAGCCCUGAACUGAUUUUCGCGCCAAAUGUUAGGAAAGACGAAGACCCAACUAAAAGAAUGUGCUGCGCGCCACUCGGCGUCUCCUUACAUACGGGUUGGGUUUUUCAAUCAAUACAUUGGAUUGGGUUUAGGCUGAGCAAGGCCCAAUUUGGUUCAAUCCUGAAAUUAUCUAUUUUUAUAAUGCAAUAUUUUAAUUCUUUGAUUUACGGGAAGGGGAUUCAAACCCCGUGCAAGGGUUACAUUACCUAGACUAAUUGAGCUAACUCACAUCUACAUAGCCUGAAAUAUCAAAACUAUUCUUUACGGUUUGCUCUUUUUAUAUUCUUUUUAAUUCCUCGAUCAAUAUAUAUGAGGAGCAAAUUUCAAAAUCUUUUUCAAGUAUUAUAUAUAUUGAUUAAAUCAUUUACGCAUUUAGAAGCUCCUCAAACACAAGCAAUGGUACUCUGUUUGGUGUGAGGCGAUAAUGAGGAUUUACAAUGAGGAAUUCUUAAUAGCCGUUUGAUUAAUGAAAAUGUUAUUAUUAAACACUAAAUUGGAUCCUUCAACACAGCCCCUCAACAUAGACCCUAGUUAUAGAAGCUCCCGUGAGUUUUGACAAUCUCAAAAAUUGUCUCAAAAGUUGCCUUAAAACCCAAUUUGCAAAAUUGAGAAGUUCCAUGAAGAAUCAAGUGUGCAGCGUAGCUCAAGUUCGCAUGCCCCAUCACGGCCCAAUAUCCUUGAAAAAGAAGCAAGGAUCCCAAUUUUUGGUGGGACAGAGGGGCAUAAAAACCCAGAAAAAGACAAAAACAACUAAACAGUAUUAAUCAUAUGGAUCUUAGUAACCCCUAUUGAGUCACCCAUCAACAGAGGCCCAAGCCAAGUUGGAUUUUCCUCAAGAAACCAGCAACCCAGGUCGCUGUUGUGGCUCCAAGCAGCCAAUCUAUCAGCCACUGCAUUCUUCUCUCUGUAAAUGUGUUGAAGUUUACCUCUUGGGAUCUAGCUCAAAAGUCUCUUGCAGCUGCUACCCAAUCCAGUCGUAGGAUGACAGUUGUUCAGCUCAUUACUUAGGAUAAGAUUCACGACUGUGACAGAAUCCAUUUCAACAACAAUAUCCAUUAUGCUUCUUUUAAUAGCUAAUUUUGGAUCAAAAAAUAAUCCCCACAGCUUAGCUUCAAGGAUUUGCCCUUUCCCAAGUUGACAGCGAAUCCACCAAUCUAGUUACCCCAAAUGGUCUCUAAUAACUCCUCCAGCACCAAUGGAACCCGUACUUCUCUGGAGAGAUCCGUCAACGUUUAGCUUUAACACACCAUUCUUGGGGGGUUCCAAGCCAAACUAACCUGGAUUUUACCACCUCCCAACUGAUUAUUUAUAGAGGCUCUGAUCCACUCCUUGGCAGCAGACAGUAUCGGCUUGUUUAGGCCUAAAUUCCGCACGCUAGCCCAUCUAGGUACUGGGAUAUAUCGACGAAAGGGGUUUGGGCCUUGUUUUACAGAAAUUGGAAAUCAGCCCAGGAUAUUUUAGAAGCCCAUACCAUUUCGAACCAAUUCCAGAAUAAAUCUUCACAUGUUAAAGGUUAAUUACCAUUAAGGGUGAUUGAAUAUGAAAAAAGCUAGAUUCAAUUGGUUUAAUUAAAUACCCAGCUUCUGGAUUUUUUUUCCCAAGGGCUCAAGGUUUGAUCAUCACCAUUGAUUACUAAAUUCAAAGAUCAGAUCAGCAGAUAUGGGGGAGGAUUUUUCUUUCCACAAUACCCAUGUGAUCCCAAUGACAAGACGUCAACAGAAGAAAGAGCAGAGGACGUGUUGGGGAGUUGGUAGAAAGGUGAAAUCGGAAAACCACUCCCCAUAACCAUUAAAUGCAAGAAAAGAGGGCCAAGUUUCCUCCAUUUACUCGUGAAGGCCUUAUUAGUACAUACUUGGUUUAAAAGAGACAAAGAAAGAAAUAAGAGAGUUGGUUGUUAGAAAGUUAAAACUGAUCAUCAUGAAAAUGACUCUUGAUGGGGGUUCUUCUUGUCAGAUUAACUACUACCCUUUUUUGCGCUGGAACAGAAAAUCCUCUCAACAAUGUGUCCUCCAGAUAUUAAGGAAUAAUCACUCAUGCAGAUUUCCUACAAAUAUAGGAGGAUUUGAACAGGAUAGAGACAGCAAAAUCCAAUCAAAACAAAAACUCUUAGUCAUACUGACAAAAUCAAGUAAGAUCACAUGAUUCCAAAAGCUUUUAGACUUUGAAGUAACCAAGCUCUUUGGUUUGCAAAAGCCAUCCAGCCUCUGACGAAACAGGCAAAACUCAGACUUCUAACUACAAUUCAGUUCAAAGAAGCAGUUCACAAAAGAAACGAGACUUCUCUCGUUACAAAUUUGGUUCAGAGCAGAUGAAUCAAGUGAAGUUCGGGUUUUUCAUAAUAUGAAAACCUCAACAAAUUUCCAGAGAUAUCUUGAUAUCUCAUAAUUGCCUUUAUAGCUCUUAGAGGAUUCACAGUCAAGCAAAAUAGGUACUAAAGUACAGUCCUAGAUCAGCAAUCGUCAAUCCAGCCACUUCCAGUCCAAUCUAGAUUGAAGAGAUCUCAGUUCUGCCCAUUCAAAAAACCUCUCCAUGGCUAAAUUUGAUUAAAGCUCUGCCAAUCUCAACAUUGGUAUCGAUUUCCAGUUGAACCCCAUCAGUUAAAGAUGCUGAUGUGCAAUUUCAGCACAGGUAUAUCCAAUCUAGCCUAAGUCAUAGACAACAAUCCAAGCAGAAAUCAAAGCCCAAUAUCUUGAUGUCCUUCCGGACUUGGCAGUUCUCUUUUGUUUAAAUUGUGUAAUAGGCAGUUCUCUUUAAAACAGUUUGAUUUAUUUCAAUAUUCAUUUUUGACUAGACUUACUAGUUUUACUGUGAGAAAUAUAAAGUCCUCACCCACUUAGGCAAGAAAAGAACUUACUUGGGAGAUAUUCCUCACCCAAAUUCACAAUCACUUGAUCAAAGUCAAUAGCUUGGGCGAAAGUUAUUAAAUUUUUAUAAGUCUGUUAGGGUUUUUAGCUGCUAACAGUGGCACGCUCGCACACAAAAGAAAAUUAAUUUGUUGAUUACCAAUGGUUUCCAAGUCAAUGAAAAACCUUACCCUACCACCACAGGAACUACAUCAAAAUGGAUAAACACAGCUCUCGCAAACCAUCCUCAUUUUUUAAGGUAAAACCAUUUCUCCAUUUCCAGAUGUGCCAGCAGAUGACACCAAACAGAAUUUUCCAAGGGAUCGGCAGAACUUAUUCUUAGAGCGAAAGUUGCCGAGCAGCCAGGUUAAUAAAUAUGAUAGGUCAUUGUCCACUAUGACAUCUGAUUGAAACAAUGUUCUCUGCCUCUAGUUUCUUGCCACAAUACAUUGCAGUCCAUGGUAUCCAUCUAUCAUCACUAGCUGUAGCACAAAAAGCAUUUUGCCACAUGCUGAAUGCUUUAGAAAACUGUGGCUGAUCAUCCAAUUGAGUUAUGCCAUUGGCUGUGAAGAUAGAAAGCAAAAGCUAAGAUUAUAUUACAAGGUGGGAUGGGAGGAAUGUCAAACAGGAAUUGAAUUUAUAUCUGCAUUGACCUCAAUUGUGAAUAAGAUCAAAGAUAACCUUGAGAGAUGCCCCAUGAGAACCUAAGCUACUUUAAUUUUAUUCUUCUGCUCAAAGAUAAGCCUAAUUGCCUUGCCAAGGUUCUUAAGAGCCAACCCCCUUUUGCUUACGACCACAAAAGCUUCAAGUUGUACAAAUUUGAUUGGUCAGAAAAAUUUGGGAAAUCCACCUUGGAUUGGUGCUUUUGCUUAUCACUACUUUUUAUUUAAUUAAAUUUUUUAAAUGGGAUUAUAGAUAUGUAGACCCCACCAAUAUUGACUAACAGCAAUGUUUAAUUAUCCUUUCGCAAAAAAAAGAAAAGAAAAAAAAGCAAUGUUUAAUUAUCCCCACAUAACCUGGUGCUUCGUUUUUGUCUUUUUGUGGCCUUAAGGGCUCUAUAAAGGGGCUUCUAAGCCAAUGCUUUCUUCAACAAAUAAGAGCAAAGCUAAUGAGCAAGGAGUUGAAUUGAAUCUUUUAACAAGGCAUUGAUUGCUCACUCUCCCUCAAGGGCUUCUCAGCUUAAGGCAAUGAUAUUACACCAAGGUCCUUAGUUUUAAGGGGCACUUUGGUAUGUUUUAGGCUAUGAAGCUCGUUGGGGGGGAAUGACCAAGCUUUUGCCUCAACUUAUAGCAGGGUGUGCAAGGCAUUUUCUACGGAUCAAAAUCCAAGGCAUUUUUGUUGCUCACUCUCCCUCAAAGGCUUCUAGCAAUGUCAGAAAUGGCGAGCUCGAAGCCUUUGGGGAGAGUAAACAAAAAAUGUCUUGAUUUAUAUUAUAUGGCAAACCACAUUUGAUGGUGAGCAUCGGAGCUCAGAGGCUUUUCUUCUUGAUUUGCUUUUUGGAAAGGUGAGUGAUGCUUACUAUUUUCACGUCUAGCUUAGCUAGCUAGCUCAUGUAAUAAUUACUGGAAAUUUAAAAUAUCACACAAACUUUACCUGCAUAUAGAUGCAUGCUCACACACACACACAUAUAUAAUCAACAACAUGCAUGCAUGCACCAUACAUUUGGAGAGAAAAUUUGUACAUUUCAAAUAUUAUAUAUAUAUAUAUAUAUGUUCUUCAUAUUAAGGAAAAAUGUUUGGUUACUAAUGAGUCAUUCUUAAGCUUAGAACAAAUGCUAAAAAAAUUCUUUUUAAUUGAAGAAACGUUGUGAUGAACUUGAUAAUUAAGAUUUAUCUAACAAUUUAACUCAAGUUAUAUUCAUCAUGAGACAUUUAUAACGCGUGUAUAAUUAUUAAUAUAUAAAAGCACUAUUAAACUCAAAAAUAUUAGUGAACCUAUGUAUAUCGUGUACGGUAAUAAUUUGUGUGUAACACCAUAUCAAUAUGCAAGGUAGUUUUGCCGCAGCACAGUAAUUUUUCCUUUCAAAGAUACGAGUCCAGACUCCAAAUAGAGUGUUGAGAAGGGGAGGGGUGGGGGUAGAGUUGCCCUUUCGUUACAUCCAGGUUUCCCGCUGCAUGUAUAAUAUGGCUCUUUCAUGAGUUGACUGGUCCUUGAUGCAUAUAAAAUAAGGAAUCUUUUCAUUACAGGAAAAACAAAACUUUUUUCAAAUUGCAUCGCUAAUCUCUAAUGCAACAUGAUAACUUAUUGGAUGUGAACAAACAAUUCAAUUUCCACAGCUGCCUCUCAAGAAGAGAGAAUCGGAAAACCAGCUUUUUCUUUGGGUAAUUAGAAGAAACCAACAUGGCUGCUUGAUUAGUACUACUAAUAUUUGCUUAAGGAGAAAACAAGUAGAAACAUUAUUUUUAUAAUAUUGAAGGUCGGCUAAGGCUACUUACAUGUACAAAUAAAUCACAAUCUGAUACAUAAACUAAAAACACACACACAAAUUAUGCGCUUGUAAUUUGUUCGGAAGAAAAAAUGGCGAGUAUUUUUCACACGUGAAUUAUAUCUGACGAGUCAGAGUGAAGUGAAGACUGAAGUGGUUGUACAAACACUGAUAAGCAGAAGUGCACAUGGAAAAAUGUCAGGUAUCUCUCAAACCUUGUUGAAAAAUGGAAGUUACAACCAUCUCUGCCCUGCUUCCUUUAUAACCUUAACUAGAUAAAGUAGCUGCUACUGCUGCUAGUCCCCUCCACUGUGCCCAGGGCCACCACUUUCCCUCCCUCCCUCCCUCCCUCCUCAAAUUAUAGGGGGACAGGAAUCUCUCUCUCUCUCUCUCUCUUUUUCCUCUGUUUGGUAUUCAAAAUUCUUCUUUUUCUUUCAUGUGACUUGUGAGCCUAAUAUAUGAACAACAUUUUUAAAAAAAAUGUAUGUAAAAAACAUGAACUUGUUUGGAUUAAAUGAUAUUAAUUUUAUGGAUUUACAUCUCAAACUUUUUCUGGAUAUCAAAAGCCAUAUAACUCUGACUGGAUGAAAUGCCAGAAACCAAUGAUUCAGAGAGAGAGAGAGAGAGAGAGAGAGAGAGAGAGAGAGAGAGAGAGAGAGAGAGAGAGAGAGGGAGAGAGGGAGGGAGGAUCCAAGGAUGAUUAUUUAUAAUAGCAUCCCUAAAUUGGUCGAGUUCACAUAUUUUCCUAGAUUUUACCAGCACUUAAUCUUGAAGUUAACCCUAAUCACACCCAAAUUAACCUACAGCCAUAGAACUAAUCCCUCGUACGAACCUCUUCUGAUCUGCUGUCUGCUACAUUAAGCAAGCUCUUGAUUUUUCUCCACAAGUCUCACUUCUUUUGCAGAUCUAAGAACACUGGCCUGACAAAAAGAAAAGAAAGAGCUUAAUUAAUCAGUUUUAAAUUAACAAUGAUGCAUUAUUAUAUGAAUCACACACCUGGUCAUCAGUAAUUUCCACAGCAAACCCAUCAACGAUGACCAGAGACAAUGUCUUCUUGUAGCUUCCUGGCUCAAGGGUUCUUGCCAACAACUGGUCAUGCUUCCGGCUUAGAUACAAAUCAAGCUCAUUUGUCCCUCUCUUUGUUCUAUGUAUAAAUAAGCAUGUAUUUUUAGAUAAGGAUACUUAUGAAGAAACAAGAGAAGAAGAUGAGCAGCAAGGAGAAGCAAUAUAUACUUACCGAUUAGCUCGAAGGCGUUCGUAUUGAGGAUCGUAGUUCAUGAAAACAAAGUAUGAUUCGAUUUUGGUGUCUUGCAUUGUGGCUAAUUCUAACUUUCUGUGCUCUUUCUUCUUCUAGGGUUAUUGACUGAUGGGCAAUGUGGCCUCAUCUAGUUCUACAUGAUGCUUAUUUAUACUUGAAGUCAUCACAAGAGGCCUACAUUUUUGUUUACAUUAUCAAGUCUAACUUUUUAAGACAAUAUUAUUACAAGAUUUAAGUCUACACACUUAUAAUACGCUACGAAUAAUUUGACUAAAUUACGAUAAAAAAUUCAAAUUUCAUUAUAUUUUUUUGAAAAUAAAAUAUAAUAUAGAAUAAUACUAGACACACGAACUAUUUCAUUAAAUGUUGGGCAAAUAGUACAGUUGCAAACUCAAUUAUCUACUGGGGAAGAAAUUGGAAUCUAAAUAUCUAUUGGGUUGGGAGACAAUAAUGGGGAUGCUUCUAUGGCAACAUUAAAGGUAUUGCCAUCAUUCACACUCGGAAGUUUCUUGCCUAGUGUUUGAAAAAUACAAUUUUAAAUGUCGGCCACACGCUUGCAGUAUAAAAGUCAACACUUAUUAAACAACUUUUUCUUUUUUACAGAACAUUUACGUUAUUUCUACCUAUCUUCCCUAUUUUUUAAUCUGUUUUAUUUUUUCACCGACCAUAUAAAUUUAUAAAAAUACAAUUUUAUAUUUUCAUUCUCCUAAAAUAAUAUUUAAUUAUUAAUUCAAAUAAAUUCCUAUCUUUAUAAAGAGAUAGUAUUAAAUUAAUUCAAUCAAAGCUCCCCCACCCACCCAACCUGAUCAGCACCCUAACCCCGCCGGCGUCAACCACCCCUCUGCUAGCCGAAAACACCGUGUUUUCUCUCUCUUUCUUUUCCCACUCCCACAAGACAGACUAGAUAAAAAUUACGGCUACAAGUCCUCUUCAAAAGUCUAGAAUCUCUAGAAAUAUCAAAAAAGGAAAACCUGUCAAAACAAAUUGCGCUUAGAAUUUUGCCUCUGUAGGAAGGUAGGGUCUGCAUCAGUAUCAACAAACAAAUCAGAUUCUUUUUCUUCUCUUCCUUUUAUGGUUUUACCCAAGUUUGUGUGAGAAGAUGCAUCUUUUCUUCCUCUAGUAUCUGAAUCAGUGCCACCAAGUGGAACUUGUUUGGAUUGGCACAUAACAUAUAGAGAGAGAGAGAGAGAGAGAGAGAGAGAAAGAAAGAGACAGAGAGAUAGAGUGAGAUAGAUAGGAAAGGAGGAUUUGUCGAUGGCAAGGGGGGAGGGGGUCGCUGCCGGCGAGGUGGGAUGGCUAACAAGUCGGUGGGUGGGGGACUUUUGGUGGCUGUUGGGUUUUUGUUUUUGUUCUUAAAAUAAUUAGUUUUAGUUUUUUUAUAUACCAAAAGUUAAGGGAAAUAGCAGCACUCAUUCUCUAUUAGCAAGUAUUAAUUAUAGGCUAGCAAGAAGCAGGUGUGUGGGUGGUGCCUAUUAAUUCUUAAGCAAUUUGAUUAGAGGCAGUAAUUUUUUCCAUUAAGAUAAUUAAUAAUGGAUUCAAUAUUAGAAUAUGUCAUCUGGAUACCGACGGUGACAAAAAAGAGGAUCAUAGAGCCAUUAACCAACUGAUUAGUCAUUCUCUAAUUAAUCUUUUUAGCCAAUAUAGCAAUGACUCGGAAGUCAAAGAUGAAACUAAUAAUACUUUGAUUAUACAAUUAAUUAUCUUGUCAAACAAAACUUUUACUCCAUCAAACAGUGUGCCCUUUACUUUUGUGUGUAUAUGCACGUGUGCACGCAAUGUUUGUAUAUAUAAAUCACACUAAUACAUAAUUUUAUAUUUUAUAAAAUAAUUUAUAAAAAUAAUUUUUAAAUGAAUACUUAAAAAGUAGACAGUUCGAAUUAUUAAAAUACAAUAGAGUGAAACUGUGCAAGUGGCCCUCAAAAAAAUUGUAUGUGUAUAUAGUGCAUGAACCAAUGUAAAAGAUCACAUAAAUUGAAGAAGGAAAAAUAAAUUAAUUUGCUCUGCCUAGUCUUCAAGUUUGUACAAAAAUUAAAUGCCCUUUAAUUAUAACAUCUAGAAGAAACAUUGGGAAGCUUUAUCUACAUGAACAUGGAUAUGAAAAAACGACCCCAUACAUGGCUCUUAUUAUUGGCUGGAAACAAUAAUCGAGAAGAUAGAGUAAUAAUGCCAAAAAGCCCAUCAUGUGAAUGGGGGAAUUCAUAGGGUUUAUUUUUUACUUGAUUAAUCAAUCUGAAAUCAGUUUUCAAAGUCAUAGGAUCUACCAAAGUACCUUCGUAAUCAAAAUGAGAUGAUGUGUUGGAAUUGGUCAAGUCGUAAAGACUGCCAAGUGCAAUGUAUGUGGGUAGGGCUCUAGUUGAUUUAUCAGAAAUUAAGCGGAGAAUUUGAAUUUAUUGAGAUAUGGACUCGUUUAGUUGUGAUUCUAAAUAGACUAGAAUUAUUUAUAAGAAAAAGCACAUUCCACGUGCUUCUCCAUAUAAUCAUUUAGAAUCACUCACAAAUGAGUUCAUAAUUGAUGUUAGGGAUUUGUUUUGUUAUUUCGGGUGUUUAGCCCCUUGUUAGCCAUAGAAGGUGAUUUGUCUUCUGAUUUUAUAAAUAUAGAUUCACGAAAAAUGUUAAAAUGUUUAUAAUGGAGAGGCAUAGUAAAAUGCAAGUAGACAAAAAGACAUGUACGCACAUGACAGCAACUACGUAGUCCUGUCUAGCUCAUUCGCCAGAAUCGUACGUACGUGCAAACAAGUGCAAGUGGAAGGGGUCAACACCAAAUGUACGAACUCCACGUGUCAGUGAUUGAGCUUGUGAAAGGGUAGGGUGGACACUAGACACCCUUUUCAGAUUCUUCCACACAGAGAGAGAGAGAGAGAGAGAGAGGGAACUCUGACUACUUCUCUGUACUCUACUUGUGAGUUUGCUCUGUCAGUCACAUGGUAUGCUGAGUUAUCUUUUGAAUUUAAUGCAUAAAUCUACUUGUGGCCUACAGACUCAAGCAAAAUCUCAUAUAUAUAUUGUGACGAUGUGAACAAAUGUUCAUGUCCGAAAGUUAAGAGAUCUUACAUAGGCUUAAAGAGUUGGGUUAUUCUUUUAUUGUCAAUUGAUUUUGCGUGAAAUUUCAUCUUACCUAAUUUUAUAAUUACGAGAAAGGCUAACAUACCCUAACAUAGAUAAUGUUAUUUACAUAUCUUAGUGUUUUUAUAAAACUUCUCGAGAUUUCGAACUAACUUUUUCAGGUUUAAAAUUGUUUUAACCUUUGAUUUUUGACCAGGUGAGAAAUUGAAGACUGACACUCUUUCAAAGGCCAAUUUGAAGCAAGCUGACCACAUUCCUCACUUAGUCUUUUAAGAGAGAUGGGCUGGGUUGUUGGUUUUCCAUCUUCUCUAUAUGAAUUAUAUAUAUGAAUGGAAGAGAAGAGUAAAUAUUCAAAAGGAACUUUGACUGUGCCAUGUUACACAUAAAUUACCUUAUGUUUGACUGUUAUAGAGCUUGGUUUAGUGAAACUCAGUCUUGCAAUUUAGGUGAAAAUAAUUUUCUUUUCUUUGGUUAGUAAAGGUGAAAAGAUUAAGAGAUUAGGUCUCUCCCCUGCUCGUCUUCAACCGCAGAAGGCUACAAUUGGAGAGAUGAUCAAAACUCUUAAAUAAGUUCAUAUUUGAAGAACAUAGUAACAUCCCUGAAGACAAAAGAGAAGAAUAAAAGGGCUUAUUCUUUUCUGAAUUUUGGGUUUAGGGAUGUAUGUAUAUCGUAUCGAUCGAUCCCUUGUACACACAAGCUGACUGCAUAAAAUUUGACAUUAGUAUCAUUUAAAUCUAAAACUGCUUACAAUAUCUCCAAGAGAGAACAAUAUAUCUCUUUUAUAGAAGGCCUAGCCUCUGGUUUGGCACUUGUACAUGCAAGGGCAAUGUCCAAAACCCCAGACACUUGCCUCCUUUCUUUCCCUUCCUUCACAGCAAACUCAAAAAACUCCGAACCACAUUCUGAUAUCAGGCCUUCCUUCUCUUCCUUUGUGCCUUCUGUCAUUCUCAAACCCUUUGGUCCUGCCAAUACGUCCAGCAGUAUCACCCCAAAGUUGUGAAUGUCACUCUUCUGACUCAGUUCAGCACAGUAAGGAGUUGUUUGCUGCCAGCAUGGCGACUUCAUCAUUUGCCACAUGUUGGGAAUUUCGACCGGCUCCGCCAAUUGGGUGAAUCCAUAAUCGGACAAGCAGGCUGAGAAGUCGAUGUUCACCAUCACAUGGCAUACCCUAAUGCUCCCAUGCACGUUCAUCUGCAUCUUCUUGUCAUAUGAAGGGUAUUGCUCAUGGAUGAAUGCAAUUGCUCGUGCAAUAUGAACAACUAUGGUCAGCCUUUGGUUCCAAUCCAACGCUGUGUGACCAUGUUGCCUAGCACCUUUAUGGUGAAACCAAAAUAAUAAUUCAGUCAUAUAUGACUAGAAAAUAAAAGAUUUGAAUUAUAUGUCAAGGUGUCACAAAAAUGAAAAAUAUAAUUUUAGGUCGACAACAUCAGAGUUGAUCUUAAGGGAUUUAAAAGGUCUGUGAGAGUAUGCAAAAACGUCUUUGGAAUGGUUAAAAGCACUUCCAAACAAACCUUAAUCUAAGAUAUUGUCCAUGAUUGGUAAUACUGAACGAAAUAAUUCUCCACUCAUUUUUUUGGUAUUGAUCUUGUGUUGAUGUCCAAAAAGAUAUCGUUUGAAGCUUAUUGAUUCAACAAAACAACCUAAUUUUAUCGGUAAGUACAAGAUCAUCAAUAAAUCAACAGAGGAUCCAAAGUUACUACUACGUUAUGAUGAUUAAAAGUUCUAAUUAUUGUGUUCGAUAGAAAUAGACAAACCCAGUUUUUUUAAGGUUAUGAAAACACUUUCGAUCUUCAUGUGAAGCACUUGAAAAUAAAUAUGUAACACGUAUUUAGGAAUAAUUAAGAUAUGCUUUAAUUUAAACUUACCAGCAAGCAAGUCAGCAAGGCUUCCCAUGGGGUAGUAAUCAGAGAGAACAAACUUGAUCCUCUUAGCAUACAAAUAAGCAAUGACAGGCACAAGAUACUCACUCUUCUCACUCACCUUAGCCAAGUGCUCUAUUCUCUUCCCAAAGUCACGACUCCCACAGCUCACCUUCCUAAACCUCUUCACAGCACAAACCCUACCACCCAACAACACCACCUUCUCAGUCAUCCCCAGCCUGCUCUCCCCUAUCACACCCACCGAACCUCUCAGCACACCCCUCAGCGUCAAGUGGGACAGCCCUUCCCCACAUCCAAGACACUUCCUGUCGUGUCCACAGCGGACAAGUGGCAGGUCCUGCAUGAACCCUACGAUGCAGUCUUCGUAGUCGUUGAACGAGCUGGUGGUGUAGCCUUGUUGUGGGUCUUGAUCUUCAUUUUUGGGGCUCUUUCUGGGCUUUGCAGUUAAGGCUCUUGACAACAUAGUUUCAGAGAGGAAUUUUGAAGAGAGGAUUUGUAAUGUCAAAUGUGUUUUGGUGUUUUGGUGAGAAUUAUGGCGUGUGGUUGUUCUUCUUGUUGGUUGUGAUUUUGAUUCAUAGUGACGUUUCUUGGUUGUAUCAAUCCAGCUAGCUUGGUGCUUCCUUAUUGGGCCCUUGGGUUUCAGAAAAUCCAAAUGUGGAAUCUGAUAUUUUUCGAACUUUGGCCAGCCUACCAAACCAAACACAUGGUAUAUAUAAUUCAUAUUUCCAUGGUGUUAUUCAGACUAGGGUUCUGCAGAUCCAAUUCAAUCCUCUAAAAUCAACCUAUUCAAUUCAAUUUAAUUCAAUUUUUAUUGGUUUCGAAAACAUUGGUAUAUUGAAUUGGAUCAGAAAAAUAGAAAUUCAAUUAAAUCGGUUUGGAUAACAAAUCAAGAAUUAAAAAUCCAACCUAAACCGAACCGAUCCAAUAUACACAUUAAUAUACAUUCAUAUUGUAUAAUAUCUACACUUUCAUCUUAUUUCUCACUAAUAUAUUAAUCUUACUUACAACAAAAUUAAAACAUUAACAUAUUAAAUAUAUUAUUGUAGUAAUUUAUAUUAAAAACUAAUAUAUUAAUGUCAUAUCUUUGAUCAUAUUGAAAUUUGUGUUAUAUGUAAUGAAAGAUUAUGAAGUUUUUUUGUGAUGAUUAUUUUUUCAUACAAACCGAUUAUCCAAUCCAAUCCAAUCCAAUGUAUAUUGGUUUAGAUUGGAUUGGAUCCUAACAUCCGACCAUUUUGGAUUGGAUUGUAAAAUUUGUAAUCCAAUAAAAGAUUGGAUAUGAUUGAAUUGGUAAAAAAUCAUUGGUUUCAAACCGAUGCUCACUCCUAAUUAAGACCUCUUAUUUACAUGCUAAAUUUACUAAACACACCAUUUCCAACCUCAUAAUAUGUAUUUACCUCUUUUUAGAAGGAAAAACAAAAAAAAGGAUGUUACAUAACCUAUAUGGCAAUACUUUUAGAAGGCUAAGAAGCGUUUUUGAAAGCAUUGGUCAUAAUAAAUAAAAAGUGCUUAUAAGUUUUAAAAGCUGAGUGAUGCCAUCAUGACAUUUUCACAAUAUGUAUGAGAAAACUUUGUUCCCUCAAAUUCAAGUGAUUGUAAAAGACUCUUCCACGAUGCACCGUAAGAAUUUCCACAGCUAUAAAAGAAUCAUUUGUGAAUGAAUGCCAAUGGAGUUUUUAAAAAAAAUAAAAUUUAAAUAUAUUUAAAUAAAUACUUUUAAUCACUUGAAUUACGAACGUCUUGCAGAAAAAUUAGGAGUUAGGAAAAUGUUUAGAUUGCUUAAAAUAGGGUUUUUAACAAUGUAAGCCCAAGAAUGUCUUCACCAAAGGGCACAAGAUAAGACCACUCCAAAUGUUGUGGAGUUGGGUUGAGAAAAGGCUUGCCCAAAACUUAGAGCAUGAGAUUCAAAUGGCCCACAUGCAGUAUUUGGUUCAAGCUGGCAUUGAUUAAGAUUUGGCAUAAACAAAACUAAUGAUAAGAACAGAAGAUUCAAACUUUCACAUAAGAUCUCCAAAAAAAUAAUAUAUUUUUGGGACAUUAUUGCUGUUGGAGUAAAAAAUACUACAACUGCGCCACGUAGCAAUCGCAACAUAAAAUAGCGGUGGUGAGCAUGUGUCUUCUGUUCCAAAGUCGCCCUCCUAGAGUCUUGGUCAGCCUCACUCGUUUUCUCCCCCUUCUAACACGUCCUGAGUGACGUCAUUUCCGACCCCUUCUCACACCCGGCAGGCACCCAGUUUUACUAAAAUACACCCUUCUCCAAUGUUAUUUGACCCUUUUUGAUUUACUAUUUGAGAGAAGCCUCUUUGUCAAUAUUUUUUUGCAAAAUUUCAAUUGCGUCUCUAAUACGAGGAAAUUUUAAGAAAAAAAGUCUUAGUUGUCGCCUCUUUUUGGGGGUUGGUUAUUUCUUUUUUUACCUCAUCCUCUCUCAUUGUAUACUUUCUUUUCUCAUUCUCUUAAUUUUCCUUCAAGAUUAUUAGUUUAUUUUGUGAAACGAUGUCGUUGUCAUGAUAUAGUCAUUGUAUUUUAGCCCACGUACACAAAGAGUUGGCUCCAUUCAACAUAAUUUGGAGCUCUAAAGAGGGGAAUAUGUCUGUUUGUGCUAAGUUCGGGUUUAACCAGUGCGUGACAAUGGAUUUAGCCGGUAUGGCACUAUGAUUUUCUUUGAGUUGCCUGGAAGAUAUGGAGCGGUGGUCCUGUUUUUUAGUUUUGUUUUAGACCAAUAAUUUUAGAAACUCUUUAGGAGUUUGUUGUGAUUUGUUUUCUAUUUAGGAUUUUUUAUUUAUUUUUAGCUUUUGACUUUCGAUACUGAUUUUUCGUUUCUGCCGUUGAGCGGCAGAUUUGUAUUGUAGGUCUUGAUAAAUGUGCUUUUGGUUGCUGGAUCGGGAAUUUAAUCAUUGUUCGAAUUGUGCGUGAUUCUUUCUAGAUUAAUUCAACAUAUUGUGUUUGGUCACUAUAAAAGAUUUACCUAUAUUUAGCACAUAGUUUUGCUCUGUACUUUUGUGCAUGCUUUUAAGUUUGACAAAUAGGAUGCUAGUCGACCCAAAGAUUUCGUAUUGUAAAUAAGUUUUGUUUAUUACAAAAAAUUCUUUAGCAAACUCAUUUAUUAGCGAGACCUGAAUUUUGCUCAUCUAAUGACUUUUAGCUCUUCAAUUAAAUUUUCUACAUUAAAACAAGAAACAAUACAAUCAAUCCAAAAGUCAGAUGACUUUUAGCUCUUCCAUAUUUAUGUCACCUCAUCACUAUGAGAGAGUAUAGUAAAACGAUGAAGAGUCUCUGGAGAUGCUCCUCCUAGUAAGCUUGGGUGAAUGGCAAAUAUGUAAAUUCGACAAGAGAACGAGCCCUUAUUUGGAAAUUGGAUCCAUGUGAUCGUGCCCGCAUUUUCCAAGUCAACUCAGUCGAAUCUCAUAUCGCUCCAACUAACGGCUCUCCUGUGAACCCAAACUAACCGGAAACCCCCUCCCUCCAAUCACGUGGCCGGUCACCCCAUUGCCCGCUGCCCGCCUUUUCCUCCUCCCUCACUCAAAUAGUCACAAAUUUCAAACCCGAACUGCCCGAUCUGCCCGAAACACACCCCUUAUAAGUUAUAUAUAUCACCACCAACCGCUCAUCUUCUCCAAUUCACAAAAUGGCCAAACUCGUCUUCUUCCUCGUCGCUCUCCUCUUCCUCUUCUCCUUCUCCUUCUCCCACGCCCUCACGCCGUCCGAUCUACCCGAGAAGGAAACCAACGGCCGCGAUCCAGCCAACACCAAGUUUCCCGAAUCCGAAUCCAAGCCCGCGACCGCCAUACUCUUACCCAGCGAGAAACGUGACUCCGAACCCGCCAAGGUCUUCGAAUGGAUACCGGAGGCCGCCGAUACGAAGCUUCCGGAUUCUGAUGGCCCCACCAUCUUGGCCAACGAAGAGUCGACUGAGUUCACACACAGCGAGUCCGUUCCGUUGACCGUCAUCAGCUUCCGCCCCGUCAACCGCCACUUCCCCAGGCGCCCCUUCCCGUUAUCGUUCCGUCACGGACACCGUUGCCGCCAUGGCCGCCGCCAGGUCGGGCCGUGGAGCCCACGCUUCCACGGAGGAGAACGCGACCGCGACGUCGUUUCGUACGGCGACGACAUGAUCCUCGGCGACGACUUGGCUUUCGAUCAGGUGUUUCACGGCGGACCGCGCCAGAUCCCUCCUAGGUGGGGCAGUUUCCGCCACGGUGGGCCCAGGUUCCCGUUCAGGCACGACGACAACAUGGAAUUGGAGAGGCCGCAUCACCAUCAUCACCAUCGCCACGACCACGACCACGACAGCAAAGAAUUUGAAGGAAUGGAGAAGCCGAGAGAGCACAGGCAUGAACACGAACGAGAGCAGGAGGGUGGUUUGAUGAGAAGGUUCCGCAAGUUCUUGAACCGCUUUUGAGUUUUGAAGCGACUAUCUUAAUCUUAUCUGUUUUUAGUUUUACUUGUACCAGCUUAUCUUAUGUUACUCUGUUUCUGUAAAUAACCAUG